RNAcentral lists this long non-coding RNA (75927 nucleotides) under Lathyrus oleraceus (garden pea). RNAcentral's name for it is "Pisum sativum (pea) long non-coding RNA (PSAT_LNC011201)". The record is from RNAcentral. Lineage: Eukaryota; Viridiplantae; Streptophyta; Magnoliopsida; Fabales; Fabaceae.
GACACAUGCCUCCUAUGGGAAGAAGAAUGAGGAGAUAAAUACAUGAGCUCCAGAAUUGACGUCUAUGGAUCAACCGAACUAGAACCGAUCGGUUCCUGUGAUGAUCGAAUUUUUUCCCUCUAAACCGAUGCAGUUACGCAACUCUGUCGUGCCUUAAUAUAUCUUGUUCAUCAUCCAUACCGCAUAUGAUUAAACCAUACAAGCAUUAUACAAAUGAAACAAAAUAAAAUGUAGGGAAGCAAUACAUACAAAAAAAAUAUGGAAAUGCAUAUCCGAUUUUUGGAAAAACGUUGAACAAAUUCGAAGUUGCAUCUCAAUAAUGUCUUGCAACUUAAAAAGGACGGAAAAUGGAAGAAACGCAAUCCAAUCCAACAUCCAAAAAAAUGAAUUGAUCAUUUAAACUACUUAUCAAACACAUUACUCAUUUAAAUAACAAUCCAAACUAGCUAACAUAACCUAAUGCUCAAUUUCUACAGAUGUAUAUUGAAAUAAAAAAAGUAUAGAGAAAUAAAAAACUUACAAAAUGUGAGUUCGAUAUUGAGCUCUUUGAUCGAUUAAAUGUUGAUAGUAGAAUCUUGGAAGUGUGUUGUAUGAGCUUGAGAGUUUAUGAUUUGAGAGAGUUUGAGAAUUAUGAGGUUUUGGGAGUUAGGAGAGUUUCAAAGUUGGAGAGUUUUAAAAAGUCAGGAAGGAGAAGAGAUUGAGGCAUAUUUGGUUAAAAUGACAUUUGUAAAUGCAUCGCCGUCCCAUAAUGAGCGAUCCAUUUAGAAUAAAAAAGUGUCCUAAAAUGAAUGACUCAUUUCAAUUUCUAAUGCACUUUUUCAUUUGUAAAUGCAUCUCCGUCCCAUAAUGAGCGAUCCAUGUUAAAUGAAGAAGAAUUUAUAAUGCACUUUUUUAAUUGUCAUUCUUCUUCAUUUAUAAAUUCUCUUAAUUUAUGUUAAAUGAUCUACUCUAACAACAAAUGGAUGAAAGAAAUCUAAUGUAUUUAAUCCAAAUUUAAAUUAAAUAAAUUAAUAUUUAUUAUUUAUAAUAUUUUAAAAAUGGUAAAAAUAAAAUAAAAAUUAUUAAUAAGAAUGAUAAUAAUAAUUAAAUUUUAUAACCACUCUACAAAACUUAAAGUUAAUGUUUUAAGUUAUUUUUACUCAUUUAACUAAAAUACCACAUAUCAACAUUUUAAUUAAGGAGCAUUUAAUUUGACACCCCCUAAUUAAAUUUGGUAUCCCCUAUUUUGAACGAAAUUACCUUGAUACCCUUAUAAAAAUUCUAGAAGUUUUAAAAUUUUCAGUUUCGUAGUAGAAAUUUUAAGUGGAUAUCAUAAAUUUUGUGAAUUUACAGGUUUUUACCGCUGUUGUAAGACAGAUACCGUAAAUUUCAAUUUUUUCGUAAGAGUUAUACCAUAAAUCAUGACUUUUGCAUAAAAUGGUUAAGAAUCCCGGAAAUUUUGAAUUACCGGUAUAUCAGGAAUUGCAAAUUAUGCCAAAUUUCCUAUAUGCUCCAAGAAUUCUCAAAAACAUGAAUUUUCAAUUUUUUUGGUACAAUGGUCUGCAUAAAUGGUCUGAUUAAAAAGUCAUCACAUAAAAUAGAUACAUAUUUAACACAAAGUUGUUAUACCUACAAGAUUACAAAAAUACUUAGGAUGACUUCCUAACUUCAUCUUCCUAGUGUCUAAUUCGUCCUGCAUAUGCUGAUUCCCAUACUUUUGCAUCUUCAGUAUAAUUUUGUCUCCAACAAUCAGUGACGGGUGACAAUGGACUAUCAGGUUUCAAUUUUACUUGAACCCAAUGAUUCUCAUUAACAAAACCAACAACAAUGAUUUUAUGCCUGGUCCUAUACACAGGUGGAGCAAAUUUAAGGGGAAAACGUAAUGUUAAGUCUCUUUAACAGGGAGACAAAUACGGCAUUGUACCUACUAGCAAUAGGGUAACCCAUAUCAGGAAUCGUCAUCCAUUUUUCUUGAUCCUGCACAUCCAAGUGUUCUACUUUUAAGGCAUUUCUAACUUCAGAGACCGUGUCAUAGAACAAACUGGAAAAUAAUUUAGGGUGUUGAUGAAAUUGAGUAUCUAACUGCGUCCGAACCAACAACCAUGUCUCUUCGCCCCAUCCAAGCAAAAAUGCAAUAAUUCGAAAACCACAAUUUGCAUCAUCACCCACAUCAAAAAUGUCAUCAAUGUAUGUAUGCCAGAAACCAGAAAAUUAAGACAAGUAAAGAUGCCUCAAAGAUACAGUGGUCAGUUGACUUUGACCUGACAGACUUGAAGGUUGACUUCCCGUUGGUUUCGUGCAUGAUCUCUUUGUAGUUUGACUCCCCUGCGAGCAUUCAUCAUACUCUCGCUGUGAAAGAUCACGAUGCACAUCACGAUGCACAUCACUCUCUUCACCCUUUCUAUUAUUCUUAACUCCCCUCUUUGCCUUAUACUUCACCGGUGGUAGACACAUCGAAGUUGUGGAUGGAUGUGUUACUCCCUCCGUUCCUUUUUAAGUGUCACUUUCUUGACAAAAAAUUGUUCCUUUUUAAUUUUAACUUCCAAAGUUCAAGGUAGUAUUAAUUGUACUUUUGUCAAAAUUAUCCCUAGGUAAUUAUUACAGAGAGAUAAAAAGUUAAAUGAAUGUAAUAAAUAAUUAAGGGUAUUAUAGGUAAAAGUAGAGUUAUUAUUUGAAAAGUAACAAUAAUGAUUAGCUUUCUUGAUAUGUGUAAAAAGUCAAAAAAUGACACUUAAAAAGGAAUUGAGGGAGUAGUUCUCUAACCCUUUUUCUUCAACACCCUCUGGCCUACAAUAUCCAAAGAAUUAAAAUAUGUCUUCAAAUCUUCACACUCUACUUCUAAAUCUAACUUUGUACCAGUAUCUUCAUGAUUAACACCAUGCUCUUAAAUGUGUAAUUUCUUCCAAAAAAUAUGAAUUUGAUCUAAAUGAACAAGUUUGUCUUGUAUUUGGAAACUGACAAGUUGACAAGCACAAGGUAACCCAUGCAUUGUUCUAAUGAAGCAACCACAAGCAUCUCUGGUUGUACCAACAAAUUUUACCCUUUCUAGUUCCUUCCCUAUAUGCUGUAUACACUGCCUUGAAAAAAAACCGUGCAAGUUGGUAUAGAAUGGAGUGUUAUACUGAUGCUUAAUGUUGACAAUACUUUUUUCGAACGACGCCCUGAUUGAACCAAGCUGCAACUUUAACAUAGUGUUCACAAUAUCCUAAUUUCGGCAUAAAUCUCUCAGGCUUGUAGCCAAUAUGUUUUUUAGUCUCCAAUGAGCAGACUCCACCCUGUUCAUUGUUAUGUUACCUAAAUGAAUGACUCUGAUAGUCCAAGCAGCAACAAACAUUUCUUUAUAAGAUGUCAACCAUGUUUCAAUCACAUACUUAACAAACAAAGGAAUAUAAGCACAUAUAGUCUCAAAGUGCUCCAAGUGUGCGACAAACCCAAUUUAUCUAUUAGCAUACAUGAUGUUGUUCCAUAGAUCUAUGACAUGCUCAUGUCUUUCUGAUUUAACAUACUAUUUACAUUUCAUGCUAACAUUUUUUUGAAAUAUGGAACGAACAUAACAUAUGAGUUGAAUUUGAAAACACAACUUCAAUUGCAUUCAUCAAUGCAAGUUCUCAAUCUGUCACCACAAUAUUAAGUAGCAAUUUCUCUAAAGAUAACAACUCUUUGAGCUUCUCCAGUGCCCAUUUGAAGUUUUCCUCCCUUUCAUGCUCCAAAUAGGCAAAGCCUACCGAAAACAUGAAUUUUGUUGACGUAACACCAAUAACCUCUAGCAGUGGUAGCCGAUACCUAUUUGUCUUGUAUAAUAAAAAAUCAACACUAAGUGAAACAUAUUCAAUUACUUCACUAGAUUAGGAUGUGUCCAGCAACAACAACAUUUGAGUCUUUCCUAUUUCUCUUUAUGAAUAAGACUCAACAACAUUUGUAUUUCCGUCAAUGAACAUCUCUUGCUCGCAUUGUAUGUGGCAAAAUAUAUUUUGUAUGUGGUGAAGAACUGCAUACAAUCGCUAUAUGAAUCUGUAUAUGAUAUUGCCGACUCCAGACCACACAAAUAAAACAUUUUUUGAAAGUUAUGUCCUGUUAUUGAAAUUUUCAAAUAUACUCAAAAAAAUUGGUAUACCGCAAAUUUAGAAAUUUUUGAAAAUUGUUGUUUGUCCACGAAAAUUUUGAGAAUUUCCUAUAUUGUAUAUCGGAUUUUUUUUAAAAUUUCUGAUAUUUUUACCGUAUUUUCCCAAAUUUCCGAUAUUAAUGUGUGACUUCUGAAAAAUGAAAAAAAAUUACGUAUCAAAAAUUUCAAAAUAACUACUGAAAAUUUCGUUUUUAUAAAUUUGAAAAAUUAAAAAUUAUAAAAAAAAAAAGUAAAAUUUAAAGUGUAAAUAUUAAUAAGAGUAUUUUAAAAAUAUUAAAAUAUUGAAAAAUGUCAUAUAUAAUUAAGGGGUGCCAAGAAGAGAAUUUUUUACAAAAAUAACCCAAUUUUUCAAGGAAAUUCCCAAAAUACCCCUGGUUUAAAAAAAAUCUCAAACUACCCCACUUUUAGAAGGAGGCGCCAAUUCAAUUGGCGACUCCACUUAAAAAUUGAAUGGAGGCGCCAAUUGGAUUGGCUAGGGCAUGUGCCCUAGCCAAUCCAAUUGGCGCCCAUGUGUAUUUUUACAAAGGAGACGCCAAUUGGAUUGACACCUCAGUGUAAAAUGCAUUUUUUUGACUAAAUGGUCUACGUGAUACAUAAUUUUGAAAUAAGACCAAUUGAUGUUAAUAAAAUUUUCCGUUUACACAAAAAAUCCUAAUGGUGGUGACCGGGAUCACCUAACCGACCUCCGGUCGCACAUCCCCUAACUACCCUAACCCGUGGCCCUAACCCACAUUGAUGAUUAACUACUAGUGUUUGAGCAUCUGAGGGGCCAGGAGCGUCACUACCAAUUACAGGAGAUGGCAUGUUGAGGUAGUCAUACAAGUCGGCAUAGUCUUCAGUAUGCAACGAGGAUGUACCGUCGUAGCUGAGUUCAUGACCCAUGCCAGAGUAGUUAGGUUGUGGUUGACUCAUUGGUGGGCGACCAGGACGGUUGAAGGGAGACAUGGGUGUGAAUGAUGCGUCGAGGAAAGGUUUAAAAGGUUGUUUGGGUGUUUGGUAUAGAUAUGGUUGUUGGAGGUUUUGGUUUUGUGAGGUUUGGGCUUCUUGGCUAUGAUAGGAAGAGGGGCGGUUGGUGUUGAAUGAUCGUUGGGUGUUCUGGCUAAGACGACUUUGGUAGGGUGAUGUGGUGGGUGCAAAGCGAUGUUGGGUCUUAGGUUGAUGGUUAAUUUAUUGGUGGUGGUAUGGGGUAUGCUCUUGGUAUUAGGGUUUGGUGUAUGACAUGUUUUGGUUGUAUGUUUAUGUGUUGGUUGAACGGAAUGUUUGACGGACAGGGGGUUGUGUGUAUCCGGUCUGACAAUGUUGUUGGGGGUUUGAUGUUGAGGUGUCAGGUGUGUAAGUUUAUUGGUGUGGGUCGUACAGGUACAUAUCAUCGGCGAUGAACUGAAAACCAACCGAUUUGUACCAAGCCAUAUAAGUACGACUUGGUUUUUCUUCAUUUGGCAUGACUGCGUCAGUUAAGACAUGGUCAUGGCGGUGCUUCCAUUUGUGACACUCCGAUCUUGCAAAGCUUUGCCAUGGAUUGAAGUUUCAUUGGUCGUUAACUUUGCGCACAUGCCAUUCUCCUAGGUUUGCUAGGAUGUUUUGGGGCAUACCAAACGACAGCUUCACACAAUCACUGUUGUGCAUCUCCACAGUUGUGAAUCGUAUUAUCGGUGUGCAUGUAGUCCAUACGACCGCGUCUUCAGCAUUGACCUCAUGGUCAUGAUCCAAAUUAAGGUAUGGACGCCAAAUGAACUGAGAUGUGAAAGAAAAUAGGAUUAUAAUCUAGGUAGAAGAAGUUAACAAAAUAUAACGAAAUAAUGAGGUUAUUAUCCUUACGUCUGUCGGUCGAAGGUGAUCCAACAGAUUGCGAUACAGAGUAAUACAGUGUCUAGGACAUCUGUUAUAACUCAUACCACGUGCAGACCCCAAAAAGGUAAAAAAAAUUAGUUAGAGAUAAUAAUCUUUAAAGAAGUAAGUAAAUAUAUAGCAAUUUAAACAACUUACUUUUGUGCAUACGGGAAUGUGAAAGGGUUGUUGUUGACGGGUGCUAGGGACGACAGUCUUGACCAACCACAUGCUUGGAGAAAAACAACACAUCCAGAAAAUAUAGAUGUGUCUUUGUGUGAGUUUUUGCAUAAGGAGCUAUUGAGAUAGGCUCCACUACCUUCGGGAAAUAAAAAAGAACCAAUUAAAAGCAUAAUGUAACACCUAGUUUUUAUUAUUCGAGCAUCUUCGGUAGAAUGCUCAUCUAAGUAUAAACUAUUAUAGUAUGACUUAAGGCGUGAAAGGAGUAUACCUUGACCUCUUGAGUUAUCAUCUAAAAAAUCAGUCUCCAAGAGGUCCAUGCAAAUUGAAUUUUCAUAGUUGGUUUUACCAUUAACAACCUUACCUUCAAUGAGCAGUCCCUAAAAGCAUGUAGACGUCUUCUAACAGUACACUCACCGGUUGGGAACCAAAACAUGUGUGUCUCUAGAUGCCAUCUUUCGCAUAAAGCAAGAAUGAAUUUGUUAUCUACCGACCAAGACAAAAUCUUGCUUAUAUGACCAAAACCGGUGAGUUCAACAUAAGGUUGAAUCAUCGGGUCCAUAUGGACAUAUUCGUGGACCCGAGUCCGGAACCUUGAAAUAUCCUAUAAACGAAAGAACAAAAAACUUUACUAAGUUGGUAUGUUAUUAAAAGGGACUCUAUUAAAACAAAUAACAAAAGAAGAAAACGCUUACAUAAGUUACUAUGUUUGCAACUGUUCCUCUAUGCGAUUCGCCCAUAUGGACCAAAGAAGAAUGUGUGUGAGCUAUCAAAAAAUUCCACAUGAACAACUCUGCUGAUUUUACAGUGAAACACACUGAUUCGAGAAGGUAUGUCAUCGGAUGUCGUAAUAUCCUUUGUAAGUUUCGGUUGGAUGCGUCUUACAAAAAGAAAAACGACUCUUGGGAGAUCGCUUCAAUAGACCCACCUCACAGUUGCAUUGCAACUAACGUUGAACAAGAUCAUCGUAAACUAAGCGCUGCAUUGAUAUGUCAAGACAUUCUGCCGUUGGUUAAUAAAGACCCAUCAGUGAAGGUGAGUAUAAUUAUAUCCCAUAUCAGAUCAACAUAUAAUUAUACUCCAUCUUACAAGAAAGUCUGGAUUGCGAGGACAAAGGCUGUUGAAUAUGUGUUCGGCAACUGGGAGGAUUCAUACAAAGAAUUGUCAGGGUUUUUAUGGGCACUAAAAACAUAUAUCCCAGGAACUAUGGCAAUUAAGGAGACAUUUCCAGCAAUGAUGCCAGGCGGAACCUGUGUUACAGGUAAUAGAAUCUUUCACCGUCUCUUUUGGGCAUUUGACCCAUCCAUCAAAGGUUUCACAUUCUGCAAACCUACUAUUCAAAUUGAUGGCACUUGGUUAUACGAUAAAUACAAGGGUACUUUGCUUAUGGCGGUUGCACAAGACGGCAACAACAAUGUCUUUCCCAUUGCCUUUGCUCUGGUUGAAGGUGAAACGGCUGGUGGAUGGGGUUUCUUUCUUCGACAUCUCAGAACGCAUGUGGCUCCACAAGCCAAUCUCUGUUUGAUUUCUGAUAGACAUGUUGCCAUUGAGAGUGCCUACAACAACCAUGACAACGGAUGACAUGAUCCUCCUUCUACCCAUAUCUAUUGCAUUAGACAUAUUGCACAAAACUUCAUGUGUGCAAUAAAAGAUAAGAAUCUUCGCAAGAAGGUGGUAAAUGCUGGGUAUGCUCUAACUCAGCCGCCAUUUCAAUAUUAUCGUGAUGAAAUUAGACUGUCUAAUGAAGACACAGAAAGAUGACUAAAUAACAUACCAGUAGAGUAGUGGACAAGGGCAUUUGACAGAGGUUGUCGAUGGGGCCACAUGACAACAAACCUUGUGGAAUGCAUGAACGGGGUAUUCAAAGGAAUUAGAAAUCUGCCAGUAACCGCCUUGGUAAGAUCGACCUAUUAUAGGUUGGCUUCUACGUUCGCAACCAGAGGUCAAAGAUGGAGUGCAGUGUUAAUGUCCGGGCAAGUAUUCAGUGAGUGUUGCAUGAAAGUUAUGAAAGAGGAGAGUAUCAAAGCUAGCACACACGCUAUAACAGUCUUUGACCGUUAUAGGCAAAAUUUCAGCGUCCAAGAAACAAUGGACCACAAAGAGGGGAGACCAAAUUUAGCCUAUGGUGUUAGACUAAACAAAAGUUGGUGCGAUUGUGGAAAAUUCCAGGCCUUCCGCAUUCCUUGCUCCCAUGUCAUUGCAGCAUGCGCAUAUACUCGUCAAGACGCUUACAACCAUUUAUCUGAUGUGUACAAGGCCGUCACCGUCACCCAUGUCAUUGCAGCAUGCGCAUAUACUCGUCAAGACGCUUACAACCAUUUAUCUGAUGUGUACAAGGCCGUCACCGUCAUGAAUGUAUAUAAUAAAAGCUUCUCGGUACUACCAAUGGAGGAAUAUUGGCAUUCAUAUGAAGGUGAUAUAAUUUAGCACAACAACGAGAUGCGUAGAAAGAAAAAAGGAAGGCCAAAUAGCACACGUAUCAGGACAAAAAUGGAUUCGACAGAUAAAAUGAUAAGAUUAUGUAGUAUUAGUCGUCAACCAGGACACAACAAGAACAAUUGUCCCAAUCGAGGAGCAUCAUCUGGGUCAUAAGCUUUUUGUAACAUUCUUUUUCUGUAACCUUCAAUCAUUAUAUAUCAUACAUUUUUUGUUACAACGAGGUUCACAACAAACAUCAGUACAAAAUAAGCUAACUGAAAACAAAAAUAUUUCUAACUGAUUACAACAAUCAAAUUGAUGUCAUCUCGACCGAACAUCAUUCCCUAGCAUCCUUAUCAGUCUUCAUUCGCACCCAACCAAAUAUACUAUUGAGUCUCUCAAUACUUCUAAUUUUUUCCCCUUCUGGUAUUUUCCCAUCUAACCAACAAACCAACUCCUUAUUCAGUUGCUCGAAUGUAGUGAUGUUCCAAAAGAGCAUCAACGUCUGAGGUUUGUCUCUCGCAUAAAUCACCUUUCCGUAUCGGCGACGAACACCAAACGUGAUUGUCAAAUGAUUAAAUGAGAUGUGGAAGAAUGACUCACACAACACAUCUAUUUAUAACAAAAAAAUUGCAUUUUACACUGAGGUGUCAAUCCAAUUGACGCCUCCUUUGUAAAAAUACACAUGGGCGCCAAUUGGAUUGGCUAUGGCACAUGCCCUAGUCAAUCCAAUUGGCGCCUCCAUCCAAUCUUUAAGAGAAAUCGCCAAUUGAAUUGGCGCCUCCUCCUAAAAGUGGAGUAGUUUGAGAUAUUUUUUAAACCAGAAAUAUUUUAGAAAUUUUCUUGAAAAAAUGGAUUAUUUUUGUAAAAAAUUCGCAAGAAGAAUUCGCUCAAGUAAGAUAUUCUAUACAGUCCAACAUUAAUAAAGGGAAUGUGUAAAAGAAAUGUAAAAAAUAUGAUGGGUGAAUAAUUUAGGAGAGGCUAGUAUAUCAUCGAGACAUUUUAUAUAUUAAAAAUAGUUAUAAAUAAAUAAAAGUGAGAAUUUUACUCUAAAAACUUUAUCUAUAAUUCUUAAUAUUUUUUAAAAUAUCAUUGAUUUAUAGAUAUUAAUAAUUUAUUUACAUUAAUAUAUUAUAUUAUAAAAAAUACAAUAAAAAUCUACUGAAAAGAAUUAAAUCAUUAACCAUUACUUACAUUUAUUUAUUUCAAUUAGCAUUUAUACAAACUGAAUUCAAUAAUUUUAAUAUUUAUACUUAUUAAUUAUUAAUUUAUGUAUUAAAAAUUCAAUUUUACAAAAAAUUAACUAAUUUUUUAAAAGAGAAAAUAGUUUUCUAAAAAAUUCAAAAGUUAUACUUUUUCUAAAACAUAUUACUUUUAUAUAUAUAUAUAUAAGAAAACUCAAAAUUUUAGUUUUCGAAAAUAAAUUUAUCAUAGAAUUUUCUAGAAACUAAAAAGAAUAAAUUAAUUUUUUUGAAAGUUGUGGGAGUUCAGGGGAACAAAAGGACAUAUUUCUAAAAAGUCAAUAUGAUGUUAGCAAGAAAUGAGCAUGUGAGCCUUUUACAUAACCAUGUGGACUUGUCUUGCUUGGAGCCCACUAAGAAAAGGUUGAUGGAGUCUACUUCCAAUAACAGCCCAACACAUAGAUGGUUAUUGCUAUUGAUAAGAACCAAACACUAUCAACAAUGAUGUUUCAAUUCAUAACUGCCAAAUCUAUUAUAAGACGUUUUUAUUGGUAGGUCUUACUAGUUAUGCAUACCAGAAUCUAUGUUUGUUUGUCAAUCUAGAUAACUUGGGUGCAAUUCCUCAUUUGAUAUGACAAAAAAAUCAUGAUAAUAAAAAUACUAGAUAUUUUAAGUGAAUAGAUGUGUAUAUAUAUCUAAGAUGGUUAGAUGACACUGAUCUGUCCAAAAUGUCCUUUCAUGUCUAGAAAUUUUAUACUUGUAAAAGCCUAUUGGUAAUUAACAAAUAAUAUUAAAUAACACUCAAAAUAAUUUCUUAUAUCACAAGGAAGAGAGAUUAAUAAAGAAUAAAAUAUAUACAACUUAGUGGUGAUAAUUAACACUGGAAUGAAAUUUAGUGGAUUUUCAUGGAAAGCAAUUGCUACCGGAUGCAAGAAACUCACUCAUCUCGAAAACAAUGGAUGUCACAACAUUGACUUCAAAUUUAGUGGAAAAUCACGCUAGUAUGUUUUGUGACUAUAUUCUAAUAUUAGCUCAUGGUUUAUUUAUUUAUUUAAUUAUUAUUAUUAUUAUUUUAUUUUUUUAAGUUUAAGUUGAUUUACAAUUUUCAAAAAGGAAAGUAAGUUUGGAAGAUUUUCAAUUUUAUCAUCUAUCUAUCAACAUGUUAAUGAAUUUUUGUCGAUUGUGAUUUUAUCAUCUAUUUAAUUAUUAACAUCUUCUAUCAUUUUAAAGUUGUAGGUUAAAAAAAGAGUUAGAUACGCUCUGUAUAACAUAUAUAUAUUCCAUUUAUGAUCAUGGAUGAUAGACAUGUGGCAUAAAAAAUUCGGAUACUCAUCGUUGGAUAAUUAAUUUUUUAUGCGUGUUUAUUUUUAAAAUAGAAAAAAAAUAUAAAAUAAAAUAAAAUUGUUUUAUCAAAAAAACUUAUUAUUUAUAAAAGAAAAAUAUAUUUUAAUUUAUAAAUGGAUUAAAAAAUAAAAAUAUUUAGAUUAAAAAAAACCUGUUCUCAUUAAAAAAAAUAUUAAGAUUUAUUCAUUAAUUUUAAAAUUACAUUUGUCAUUAAUAACAUUUAUAUUAGUGAAAUAAUUAAUUAAAAAACAUUUUUUAGAAAUUAUCUUUAAAAAUAUUAUAUCUUAAAAAUAUAUAUAUUUUAAAAAAUAUUAAGAACAUGAAAAAUUAAAAAAUAACGUAUUUUUCCCGUGUUUGGAUUCAUAUAUUAUUUUAAAUAUAUAUAUAUAUAUUUUUUAUUUUUUAAUUGUAUAAAAAAUAAUAAUAACCCGUAAGUUUGCACGAAAUCUGAUCUGAAUACAUGUGCAUUUGUACAUGUAUCGGUGUGUUACACACAUUUAUUUCAAAAAUAUAAUAAGAAUAUAAAAAAAAUUGUUUAUCGAACGGUUUUAUUAUUUAUAAAAGAAAAAUAUAUUUUUAUUUAUAUACAAAUAAAAAUAUUUAGAUUAAAAAAAAUUGUUCCCAUUUAAAAAAAAACAAAAAAUUUAUUCAUUAAUUUAAAAUUAAUAUUUACCAUUAAUAACAUAUAUAUUAGUGAAAUAAAUAGUUAAAAAAUAAUUCUAUAUAUUAUCUUAAAAAAUAUUGUAUCUUAAAUUAUAAAUAAUUUUAAAAUAAAAGUAUUAAUAGCCUAAAUAAUUAAAAAACAACAAUUUUUUCCUAUGUUUGGAUUAAUACAUUAUUUUAAAUAUAUUUAUUUUUAUUUUCUUUAAUUAUAAAAAAAAAUGUAAUAAAGAUCUGUGAACCAGACAUUUGUUUGCUACAUGUAAAAUACCUGUGAAAAACCAGCAUAAAAUCUAGUUACAAAGCAAUGAAAAAAAAUAGAGUACAUUUGACUAAAUUUUGUUUAUGUACCAUGCAUCUGAAUAAAUUCCAAGCUUAAGACCUUUGUUGUGUACAUAAUCUGCUAGAGCUUUAAUAUCAGAAAUAAAUGUUGAGUUCUUUGCCACCAUAUUGCCUUGUAACACAACAAUGUUUGUCAGAAACAAUUUUAUUUAAAACUUUCAGAAAUCAAAUAAGAAAACACAGUAAAAAACAAAGGAUCUAUGCCUUAUCAUCGCGAUUAAGUUCAGCCCAACAAUCAUCUACAACAACAAACAAUUGAAACAAAUAAUGAUAAUACCUAUUUUGACAUAGGUGUAUCCAAGCUUAGAUAGACCAGUAGAAAUAAGAGCAUCAACUGUAAAUCCAUUCACCAAAUUCACAAAACCAAAUGCUAAUUUUUCAAAUGUAUACUUACUAAAUAACUUUAUACAAAUCCAUCAAUUAAAUCAUCAUUGUAUGUAUAUACAGCAUAAACCAUAAAUGACCAAAAAUACCAAUUUGUGAGAUUAUUUUUUCAUCAAUUUUGUUGAAUUGUAAUUCCUUGUGUCGAAGCAGGUUGUUCGACAGAAGCAAGGAAAUGUCGAAUCAUCUAGUGUCUUGAGUUGUAUUAGUGUCGAAGUGUCGAAACAUGUUGCUUCACACAGGAUUUCGACUUAGGCCUAUUUUUAGUAGUGUUAACUAUUUUGGGCUUUUAUAGUUUUGGGCUUUGGCUUGAGGUGCUAGCUAACCUAAAUCUAUAAAUAAAUGGAGUAACCUUUAUUCUUGUAAUGAAGUGAAUAGAGCAUUCAUAAUAUUGUAUUCACAUUAUUUUGCAGUUGAAAAGUGAAUAAGAAGUUUUCCAUAGUUUGUGGAUAGAGAGAAACUCUACAGAUUUUUAUUACUUUUCUCCUUCGUUCUUUCUUUCUUUCUCCAUUGUUCUUCUCCUUUCAUUGUUAUUGUGUGGGUGAUAACAAUCUUGUUCAUCAAGAUUGAUUAAAAUUCUUCAUAGGUUGUGGUGGAUUUCGAACAUCUGAUAUCAAGAGCUCCGGUUUAAACGAUUCGUAGGAAGAAAAUCACCAUGACAAUGAAUCAUCCAAACCGGCAUUUUCCAGCAAAUCUUCUGAUUUUCAAGAACAACAAUUAUGAGAAUUGGUGCAAGCAGAUAAAGGUUGUGUUCUGUUAUCGAGAUCUUUGGGAUCUUGUGAAGGAAGGAGUAACAACGCUUGUAGAAGACGCGACAGAUCAAGAAAAGGUUGUACAUAAAAAAUUGAAGAAGAAAUAUUAUAAAGCUCUCUUUAUAAUCCAUCAAUGUGUUGAUGCAUAUAACUUUAAAAAUGUUAGUGAUGCAGAGUCAGCGAAAGAAGCAUGGGAAAUUCUGGAGAAGUAGUUUGGAGGUGCGGAGAAGGCGAAAAAGGUGAGGUUAUAAACUCACAAAAGGACGUAUGAAUUGCUUCAGAUGGAAGACAAUGAAAGCAUAACUAAUUUUUUCACCAAGGUUACGAAACUGGUGAAUCAAAUCAAGGUAUAUGGAGAAGUGUUGACAUCAAGAUCCGUUGUUGGAAAGAUCUUGAGGUCGUUGGCUCCAAAGUUCGACCAUGUGGUAGUAGCCAUAGAAGAGUCGAAGGAUUUGUCAAAACUGACGAAGGAAGAGCUUCAAGGGAUGCUUGAAUCUCAUGAACAAAGAAUGGCUGAAGGAGCUGCAGGAAAGUCGAAGAAUGAUAUGGAUUUACAGGCGCAAUUAGCAAAAGAAAGGAAAGACAAAGGAAGCUGGAAUGACAACAAAGGCAGAGGAGGCUACAACAAUUCGACUGGUCAAAAUCAGCAAGAAAGAAACUGGUCAAAUCAGAGAAAACCCUGGAACCAAGGCAACCAAAGAGGUAGUGUUGCAGGUAGAGAAAGAGGUGGUGGUCAAAAGUCAAACAAGAGUCACAUUUAGUGUUACAAUUGUCAGAAGUAUGGUCACUAUUCUAGUGAUUGUCCAGAAAAGCAAAAGAAUCAAAAACCUUAUGCAAAGCUGGCGAAGCAUGAAGAAGAAGAGACACUGCCGAUGGUUACAACAAGAGAUGAAGAGAGAUUCAAGGAUCAAUGGUACUUGGACUCAGGAUGCUCAUCACACAUGUUCAGAAGGAAAGAUUGGUUUAUUAACAAAAAUCCCUCAAUGAAGAACAUGGUGAAAUUUGCAAAUGAUAACACUCUAGCAGCUGAAGGUUUUGGUGAUGUUCUGAUUAUUAGGAAAGAUGACAAGAGGUCAGUAAUUUCAACUGUGUUGUACAUACCAGGCAUGAAGUGCAAUUUUCUCAGCAUAGGGCAGUUAGUAAAAAAGAAAUACAAGGUGUCGAUAGAAGACAAGAUGAUGAGAGUUCUCGACUCAAAUGGAAGGUUGAUCUUGAAGGCUCCAACGUAACAGAAUAGAACCUUAAAGAUUGAGCUUAAUGUGAUGAAGCAUAAGUGCCUUGCAACAACAACCAAUAGAGAUGAAAGGAUAUGGCAUUAUAGACUUGACCAUCUCAAUUUCAAAGACAUCAGAGAUUUGAAGAAAAGAAAUAUGAUUUCAGGAUUACUAGAAAUCGACAUUCCAAACGAAGUGUGUGAAGAAUGUGUGCAAGUGAAGCAGCACAAGAACAACUUCAGUAAGGAUGCAGGAAGCAGGUCGAAGGCAAUUCUUGAAGUCAUAUACUCUGAUGUAUGUGGUCCUCUCCAGGUGGAUUCGAUUGGAGGUAACAAAUACUUUGUUACAUUCAUAGAUGAAACAACUUCAGUAAGGAUGCAGGAAGCAGGUCGAAGGCAAUUCUUGAAGUCAUAUACUCUGAUGUAUGUGGUCCUCUCCAGGUGGAUUCGAUUGGAGGUAACAAAUACUUUGUUACAUUCAUAGAUGUGUUCAGUCGAAAAUGUGGUCUUACCUGAUCAAGAAGAAAAGUGGUGAUCGAGGUAUUUUCCAAGUUUAAAUCUAUGGUCGAAAGACAGAGUGGUCAAAAGAUCAAGAUUUUGAGGACUGAUGGUGGUGGAGAAUAUGUGUCAAAAGAAUAUGGUUAGAAGUAUAUUGAAAGGCAAACAUCUACUCAAAGAGUUAUGGGGAGAAGUUGUGUCGACUGCGAGAUAUAUCAUGAAUAGAUGUCUGACAAAGAAGCUAGAAGGAAUCACGCCAGAGAAUGUUGGUCUGGUGUCAAGCCUAGCUUGAGUCAUCUGAAGGUGUUUGGAUCUAUAGCACAUAGACAUGUGCCAGAUCAGUUGAGAAGAAAACUUGAUGACAAGUCGAGUCAAAUGAUCCUGAUAGGAUAUCAUUUGACUGGAGGAUACAAGUUGUUCGACCUAGUGAAUAAGCAAGUGGUGAUACAUAGACAUGUGCCAGAUCAGUUGAGAAGAAAACUUGAUGACAAGUCGAGUCAAAUGAUCCUGAUAGGAUAUCAUUUGACUGGAGGAUACAAGUUGUUCGACCUAGUGAAUAAGCAAGUGGUGAUCAACAGGGACGUGAUCAUAGAUGAGCUUAAGGAAUGAGAUUGGACUAAGAAUGUUAAGAAGGAUUUAGUGAAAAUAUUUUGUGAUGAACCAACUAGUGAAGUUGAAAGAGAAGUUCUACAAGAAAUCAGAGGUGAAGCAGACCCAAGCAGACCUCAAAGAAAAAGACACAUCCCUACAAGAUUGCAAGAAUGCGUGAUUACAUCAGAUGAUGUGGUCAAUGAAGAAGGUGAGAUGGUACAUUAUGCUUUAUACGCAGAUGUCGAACCAGUCAAUGCAGCUGAGGCAUUGAAAUAUUCGAAGUGGAUGAAAGCAAUGAACGAAGAGCUGAAGUCAACCAAAGUUAACAACACUUAGUCACUUGUCGAAUUGCCCCAAGACAAGAAGGAAAUAGAUGUGAAGUGGGUAUAAAAUGUGAAGUUGAAUCCCAUAGGAUAAGUGACUCGACACAAGGCGAGACUUAUGGUGAAAGGAUUUCUUCAGAAAGAAGGAAUCGACCUUGAUGAAGUUUUUUCACCUGUUGUUAGGAUCGAAACAAUCAGGUUGGUUGUUGGUCUAGAAAACAUAAACAACAGACAUAUGUGUCAGAUGGAUGUGAAAUGUGCUUCCUGAAUGACCCCUUAGAAGAAGAAGUUUAUGUUGCACAAUCAGUUGGGUUUAUGAAACAAGGCAAAGAAAGAAAGGUGUACAGGGUGCAUAAAGCCUUGUACGGACUUAAACAAGCUCCAAGAGCUUGGAAUAAGAAGAUAGACGACUUUCUAAGGGAGAAGGAGUUUGUGAAGUGCAAAUAUGAACAUGGAGUAUAUGUAAGAAGAAGCAAGAGUAAAUUUAUUAUACUAUACCUCUAUGUCGAUGACUUGUUGAUAACAGAUAGUUGUAAGAAAGAGAUCGAAGACUUCAAAAGUGAUCUCAACAAGAAAUUCGAAAUGUCAGAUUUAGGUGACAUUUCAUAUUUCCUUGGCAUCAAAUUCUACAAGAGUGGUAGAGGUUUGGUGAUGCAUCAAAGAAAGUAUGCAUGCGAAAUACUCAAGAGGUUUGAGAUGCAAGAUUGCAACCCAACUUCGACUCUAGAUGAGCCUAGAUUAUAACUGUCGAAAGAUUCAGAUGAAGAUGAUGUCGAUCCAAACCAAUAUAGAAGAAUUAUUUGGUCACUUCGAUACCUUUGUCACACAAGGCCUGACUUAGCAUACAAUGUAGGAAUCGUGAGUAGUUUCUUGCAGAGGCCAAAGGUGUCACAUCUAGCAGCGACGAAGAGGAUACUAAGGUAUCUGAAAGAAACUCUCGACUAUGGUAGUUUAGUUCCUGCAGCUGAUGAAGGAAAAGAAUGCAAAUUAGGGGGAUACACUGACUCAAGUUGGUGUAGUGAUGUUGAGGAUCGAAAAUCCACAGUUGGCUAUGUGUUUAUCCUAGGUGGUGCACCAGUUGCUUGGAGUUCGAGAAAGGAUCCAUUAGUGGCAUUAUCUUCGUGUGAUGCAGAAUACAUAAUUGUUUCCCUUUGUGCAUGUUAAGAAACGUGGAUGGUGAAUAUGGUCGAAGAGAUAACAGCGAAGAGUCAUGGAGCAAUUACCAUGAGGAUCGACAACAUGUCAGCUAUAAAUCUGGCGAAGAAUCCGAUAGCACAUGGUCAAAGAAAGCACGUCAAGAUGAGGUUCCAUUAUCUUCGAGGGCAAGUAACAGAUGGGAAGAUGAAUGUGGAACACUGCAGAACUGAGAAUCAGAUUGCAGAAAUCAUGACGAAGGGAGUGCAGGUCGAAGUGUCUAGAAGACUAAGAGCUAUGAUGAAUGUAGAUAGCUUAGACGCAAUGAAUUAGGUGGUGUAUUGAAUCAUAGUUCCUUGUGUCGAAGCAAGUUGCUCGACAGAAGCAAGGAAGUGUCGAAUCACCUAGUGUCUUGAGUUGUAUUAGUGUCGAAGUAUCGAAGCAUGUUGCUUCACACAAGAUUUUGACUUAGGCAUAUUUUUUAUAGUGUUAACUAUUUUGGGCUUUUAUAGUUUUGGGCUUUGACUUGGGGUGAAAGCUAACCUAAAUCUAUAAAUAGAUGGAGUAACCCUUAUUCUUGUAAUAAAAUGAAUAGAGCAUUCAUAACAUUUUAUUCACAGUAUUUUGUAGUUGCAAAAUGAAUAAGAAGUUUUCCACAGUUUGUGGGCAGAGAGAAACUCUGCAGAAUUUUAUUACUCUUCUUUUUCGUUCUUUCUUUCUUUCUUUAUCCAUUAUUAUUAUCUUUUCAUUGUUAUUAUGUGGGUGAUGACAAUCUUGUUCGUCAAGAUUGAUUGAAAUUCUCCAUAGGUUGUGGUGGAUUUCCAACAAAUCUGACAGGCAAAUGAUUCCAUCUAUUCCACCUGUAUAAAAAAAUCAGUAUCAUAAAUCUUUAGAUGCAUGUCUUAGGAUUCUUUGGUAAUUAAAAUAUUGUUACUGUAAAAUACAUUCAUAAUUUGGUGACAUACACACCCUAUAGGAGGAGUUCCAGCAAGACCAUUAGCAAGAAGUGACAUAAAUAAGCAAAAGGGUCACCAAAACCACCACUGUCUCAAUCUUUAUCCCCAUUUUCGACACUCUUUACCAGCAAUUAUGAGAAAAUAGAAAUAAUCAAAAUAAAUGUGUUUUGAAAUAAAGAGAAAACAUAUUUUACUCCUCCAUGAUGUAAAUCUUUUUUUCAUAAAAAAUUUCUAGAUAUAAAAAAGAAAUAUACAUGAAAAAGAAAACAUUAAAAAUGACAAUAACAAUGGAAAUAAAUGGGUAUGUACAGAUUGAUUUUUACCUGGUUCAACUUUGGGAUCUGAAAUGAAACAAUAACAACAACAAUGUUAAAUGUUCAAAACUUAGCCCCAAAAUAAAGAGUCAUGUAAAUGAAGCUGAAAAGAAAAAAAAACGAAACUAAAACGAAAAUGAGAGGAAAAUUAGUUUGAAGUUUAUACUGAUGAAAUAUUUGUUGAAAAAUUGAAAUCGAUUAGAGAAAUAGCCAAAGCAGUAGAGGAAAAUGGGUUUGGAAUGAAAUUUGGUGAAUAUAAAAUAGCAGUGCUAUCUGAGGCGAAGGAAGGUGGAAAAGCAAUACAAAAGCAAAACUAAAGGUCCGCAAAACAUUAGUUGAAAAUCAGAAAAUCAGAAGGCAUGGUGUUAGCAUGGGAAAUAGGAAUGAAUAUUUAAUAUAUUUUAAUUAUGUUUAAUAGAAAAAGUCACAAGGCAGAACGAAGUAUAAUAGCAUUCACCAGACCAAUAAAUUUUGAAAUUAGCAAUGACGUGGCCGCAUUAGGAAGAAGCAGGGAUUGAGUUGUAACUUCCAGAGCAUAAACUCUUCUUAUAUGAUAUAUAUUAAUAAUUAAAUAUAUAUUUAAUUAAAAAAUUAUUCACAUUUUCUCUUCAUUUUAGUGAUGUUAGUUACAUCAUAGUCUUUCCUUCAUUUUCCUCGUUGCUUACCGUUAAUUAAAUGUUGUCGUUUCAUCGUUGUCUAACCGGCCACGGCGCCCUUAAUUAAUUUAUCUAAUCUUUGCUAUGAGACACUAAUUUGCAAGACCAAAAGUAUUACAAGUUUACAACCUACAGUUUUCUCAGAGGAAUUUUUAGUUUUUCUGUCAAAUUUUUCUUCAAAGGAAUAUUGAGAGUCUCAUGAAUGAAAUUUCAAUGAAAAACAAAAUUACUUUUUAUAUAGAUAAAAUUUAUUUAUUUUACCGUGCUCUCGUUUGAUCUAAAGAGUUAUGACGCAGUCGGAAACAUUGCGGAUUAACAAGCGCUAAACCUAAAACAAAACACAAGUUUGCAAGCGAAAUACCUGUCAUAUAAAGCUCUAGAAUCCACCAGAAAGAGAAAAGAAACUCUUGAAUUUUAUUAAGAUUAAAGAUAACCUUGGCGGCCACACCCAAAGGUUUUUAAAUACUGAAAAAGAAAGUUUAAUGGGCUUUCAAUCCAAAACAAAAAUAAAAUAGAAAAAAGAAACCAUAAUGGGAUUUUAAUUAAAAUAAAUAAAUAAAUUAGAAAAUUGCAAAAAAUAUUUAAAUGUUGUUUUUGAGCCUGAAACAAACAUGGAUGGCUUAAAAAUCCUUUCUGCAUCAGUCUAUUCCACCUCUAAAGAACUCGACUCUGAGUUCUCUUUUGCCUAAGAGCCUCAUCUUCUUGAUAUUCAUGAAUGUCGGUGACACUAAAAGUAUUGGAUAUAUUCAUGAAAUAUGGGAGAGUUACCACAUAAACAUUAUCAUUGAUCUUUCGGGUUACUUUGAAUGAGCCAUACUUACGUGGUUGCAGCUUGCUGUAAAUACCAACUAGAAACCUCUCCUUACGCAUAAACACCAUCACAACGUCUACCAUAUUUAAAGCUUUAACUUUCUGACAUUUAUCUCGCAUAAGAGGCAAAUCGUUUGGUAGCUCAUAUGCGGUAAAUCACUUGAAAUCAUCUAGGAUCCCUAACACUUUUUUUGGAAUUGUUGUUUCCACCUUUAUAACACCCAUCAACCCUUUAGUCACCACUUGACAAAAAUAAAACAGUUUCUUUAACAGCCUCAUCAAGCUCCUUUUCACUAUGUGUCAUCACCAAGAAACUAGACUUCUUUCCUCUUGAAUUCUUAUCAAAAUGCAAAACAUAAGUCGUAACAACUUUAUAUGUGCCACAUGUAAACAUCAUCAUAUUAUUUCGUCCUCAAUAAGUGAUAUCAUUAUCAAAAUUUCAAUUCCUACCAAGUAAAAUAUGACAAACAUUCAUAUCAAGAACAUCACAAAAUACAUCUUCUCUAUAAUGUUUUCCGAUGGAGAUAGAAACUCUGCAAGCUAGUGUUACUCGAACUUAGGAGCAUGUGCUUACCCAACCGAGGGUGUAUGACUUCUCAUGGGCUUAUGUGGAUAACUUAAAAUAUUAUACCAAUUUAUGUGACACCUGAUUCUUCAUGUUGCCACUAUCGCACUCAAAUUACACACCUUGUUGAUAGAACAAAUUCUUGCGCUUCCUUUCAUCUUUGGAUGCUAGUAAAAUUCUCUGCAACAUAAAAUUUACCCUCUUAUCAUAUUCUUCCUCUGCAAACUCAACCCUUGCAUAUUCAUCGUUCUCAACUGCAUGUCCUACUUUUUCCUCUUCCUCUUCCCAUUCUUCUGCAACAACAAUGACUCUCCUUGUUGGACAAGCAUUUGAUAUGCGACCUCUUCCAUUACAAUGAUGUGGGUUUAGCAUAUUAUGUAUUCUACCUCUUAAUUGGUGAUAUACCCUGUUUGACACCGUUAGGGCUGUUAGUCCCCUUACUCUCAAGGUUGGAACCCCUGGUUGUUGCAUUUUUUCCUUGUCGCCUACUGAUUCAAAGGUAUUCUUGGGCGAAUACCUAAAAGGUGAGAAAUUCCGAGGGGAUUUCUCCAUCAAUUUUGCCUUCAAAUCUAGACAGGGUGCCUUAGCCACAAUCCAUAUAGACUGCAAACCGAUCUUCUCAUGCAAAGAUCCGUUUAAGCCAUUGAUGUAUUGAGCUACCUUCUGACUCUAUAAUUCUCCCAGUUCAUUAUGCUUAGAGAAACGUAGGAACUCAAUUGUGUAUUCUAUUAUAUUUCACUUUCCUUGAACACACUCAAUAUACAUCGUAUAAAGAAUUUUCUCACAAACCUCUGGUAAAAACCACUCUAGCAUCAAUUGUUUCAUUCUUCGCCAAGAUCUGGCCGACCAUUUUCUUGGCCUCUACCUUUGAGCAACAAAUUUAUUCCACCAUACAACAACAAUACUAUUCAGCCUGAUCGCCACCAUCUUAACUUACUUUUUCUCAGGGACGCCCAUGAAGUCGAAGAAUCUAUCAACGUCGAUUUGCCAAUCCAUAAAUUCCUCCAUUCUCAUCGUUUCAUAGAACAAUGAAAUAUCAAUAUUCACUCUAUUGUCAUGGUUAUUUUGUCGAUUCCCAUGACCAACCUCUACCUCGUAGUGUUCUUCUUCUUCAGAACCCAAAUUUUUAGCAGUAAUAAUACAAUUGUUUCCAUCCCGUGGAACCCUAAUUUGUUCCUUUCUCGUGUCUCUUCGCUAGUUCCUUUGUUAUUGGCGUUGUUCACAUGAGUAGUUAAAGUCAUCAUUUGUUCAGUUAAAAUAGUUAACGUCAUGGUAAAAGCCACAGUAAUAUUACCCUCAAGGUCUGCUAUGGUCAUUGGUGAUCUCCCAUGUAUGAUCAAGCUACAAAAAUAAACAAGAGAAAACCUACUCUGAUGUCACCUGGCGCAGUCAAAGACACUAUAGAUUAGCAAGCACUAAACGUAAAACGAAACACAAGUUUGCAAGCGACAAACCUAUCAGAUAAAGCUUUGGAAUCCACCAGAAAGAAAAAAAAACUCUUGAAUUUUAUUAAGAUAGAAGAUAACCUUGACGGUCACAUCCAAAGACGUUUAAAUACAUAAAAAGAAACCUAAUAAACUUUUAAAAUAGAUUUAAAAAAAAUCUUAAUGGGUUUUUAAUCCAUCAAAAAAUAAAUAAAAUAAAAAAUUACGAAAAUAUUAAAAUUUUAUUUUAGGAUUUGAAACAAACUCUCAUGAUUUAAAAAGUCUUCCUAAAGCUAUUAUACACAAAUUUAAUUAAAAUUAAAGAAGAUAAUGUCAUAUUUGAUGUUUGAUAAUGAUGUUGGUUAAACAAUAAUUAGCAGUAAUAGGACUAACAAGAGGAAAAGGGAAGAACGGAAAUAUUUUUCUGAGUACGAAGGAAUCUAGAAACGGGAAAUAGGAAAAGGGAAAACCUGAAAUUUAUUUUAUAUUUUAAAUUAAACCAUUAUUAUAAUAAAUUGUUAUUAUAUUAGUCUCAACUUUUAUAAAUCAUUUCUGCCACAUGUCUAACAUCCAUGAUCAUAAAUGGAGUAAAUGGAAUAUAUGCUAAAUGGAGUCUGAAAUACAACAUACAUACAAAUAAUUAUUCCAUUGUGGAAUAGAAAAUCAAUGAUGAGUUGGUAACAUCCACUAUAAAAGGUCUCCAAUACUUACGGUGGUAGAAGUAAUAUAAAUGGAUGAUUGUGAUGCAUUGACAGUGUAAAUAUUUUUUACACUGAUAGUGCAUAACAAUUAAUCUCAAUUUAAUAUGUCAAAGAUAAAUAUCAUAUGGAUGUGUGUCUAAGGAAUAACUAUUAAAAUAUAUUGAUUAACCGAGAGAUUGUUAAAAUAUUUAAUUUGAAAAUAUGUUCAAUAAUAUUAUGUGGAGAUAUACAUUUAAGUUAAUUAGAUUAGCUAUUUAUUAAUAGUGAGACUUAAUUGAUUUAUGUUAAAAGUUGUAAUUAAUUUUCUGUUGAAAGCUAUGUCGAAGUAGUUAGUCGAGGUGUAUGAGUCAGCCAUAUUCGACUAAGUCGAAUACAUAAUAUAGUUUUAAUGUCGUAAUAUAAUUUGUAACUUUGUAUAUUACAUUUUGUAUGUUUAGAGUUUGGAUUAAUUUGUAUAGUUUUGGGUGUGAGCUUUAGUUGCCUAUAUAAAGGGCAUAGUAUGAUGUAAAUAACAACUUUACUCAAUAAUAUUUUUCUUUUUUUACAAUUAAGUUUCUAUCUCUUUUCUCUCUCUCUUCUUCUUCUCCCAACUUUCUUGAAAAUCCUUUGUUUCAACAAAUUGGUAUCAAAGAGCCCAGGUUGCGAUUUAGAGAGAAACUAUAAUAGAAAACAGAAACACAACAUCAACGCAGUUUCUAGCGAAUCUACCGGUUUUAAAAGGGGAGAACUACGAACAGUGGAUUGCGCAGAUGAAGGUCAUCUUCAGAUUUUAAGAUAUGGUUGAAAUCAUGAGCGAUGGAGUAACGGCAUUGGAAGAGAAUGGGAACGAUGUUCAUCAAGAUGCUCACAAGGAACGAAGAAAGAAAGAUGGAAAAAGUUUGUUCUUGAUUCAACAGUGUGUGGAUCCUAACAUGUUCGAGAAGAUAAGUGAAUAAGAAAUAGCUAAAGGAGCGGGGGACAAGUUAAAGAACUUGUACGACAUAGAUGAAAAGCUAAAAAUGGUGAAGUUGCAGACGUUGAGAAAGUAAUUUGAGAUGACUCAGAUGAAGGAAGAUGAAUUAGCCUCGAAAUACCUUUCACGUGUGGUGGUCUUUACGAAUCAGAUGAAGUCAUGUGGUGAAUCAAUCAACGAUUUGUAGAAGAUUAAGAAAGUGUUGAGAUAUCUGACUGUAAAUUUUGAUUAUAUUGUAGUGUCUAUUGAAGAGUCCAAGAACAUAGCUGAGAUGAAGUUGGAAGAACUUCAAGCUUCAUUAGUAGCUCAUGAGAUGAGGCUGGAGCAGAGGAACUCAGAAAGGUAGAAGGUGGUCGAAAUGCAAGCAAGAUUCAUCAAUAAAUAUGGAAACGAGAAGGAAAAGCGGAGAAAGAAUCUUGUUAAUGAAAAGAAGUCAAGCAAGAACUCAAAGAAUCACCCUGAUUCGAUUAAUAAAGGCAUGAGCAACAAGUAUUAUGGGAAGAAAGUUGACAUGAAGGAGGUGUUGUGUUACAACUGUCAAGGAUUUGGCCACUAUGCUCGAGACUGUCGAAGAAAGAAGGAAGCACAAGAAAAAGACAGUGAUGAAGUAAAGUGUACACAUGCUAAAGAUAAUGAUUAUGAGGAUGUGGUACUCAUGACCAACACUCAGUCGAAAACUGAGCAAACCAACAUGUGGUACUUGGAUUCAGGAUGUAGUAACCACAUGACUGGUAAUAAAAGUUGGUUCACCAAGCUAGAUGAAUCAGUUGAGAAAGUGAUAAAGUUGACAGAUGGCAGGCACAUCACAUAAGGUGGAAAAUGAGAUAUCUCUGUUGUCAGAAAGGAUGGUCGAAACUCCAGCAUCACGUAUAUGUUGUACGUACCUUCAAUGACAAGUAACUUGAUAGGCGUAGGUCAAUUACUUGCAAAAGGGUACAACAUAAAGCUAGAAAAGAAUCAGAUGACGUGUAUCAUGGUGAUGGAAUCAUGAUUAUGAAGGAACCAUUGGUAGACAACAUGACCUUCAAAGUAGAAAUCAACACGGUUGAUCACAAGUGUCUUGCUUCGACUGCAGAAGAAGAUAAGAACUGGCUAUGGCAUCACAUGGAUAGACAUUUAAACUUCAGAAGUUUAGGUAUGCUCUACCAGAAGAAGACGGUGUUUGGCUUACCUCAUGAAAGGGAACCAAGUCAGGUAUAUGAAGAAUUUUGCAAAGCAAAGCAAAUUAGGAAAGCAUUCAAACAUUACUUGCCUACGAGGUCGAAGGAAAAGCUGGAGCUAGUUCACUUUGAUGUGUGUGCAUCAUUUGAAGUAAGGUCGAAUGACGGUAACUACUAUUUCCUAACCUUCGGAGAUGAAUUCACUAGAUAUAUGAGAGUUUACCUUAUUGAAAGGAAGGGUGAGGUAUUCACACAGUUCAAGAAGUUCAAAUUGCAUAUCGAAAAGAAAAGUGGAUGCAAGUUGAAGAAAUUGAGAACUGAUGGUGGUGGUAAAUACACUUCCCAAGAAUUUGCUAGAUUUUACAAUGAGGAAGAUAUAAAGAAUGAGGCCAUUGCACCCUAUACACCUCAGCAUAAUGGCAUAGCUGAGAGGAAGAAUCGAAGUAUAUUGAACAUGACUAUGAGCAUGUUGAAAGCUAAAGGUACGCCAACGAGAUUUUAGGGUGAAGCAACUUUGGCAGUACUAUACAUUCUAAACAGAUUUCGAACCAAGAAGAUAGUCGAGAGGACUCCUUAUGAGACUUGGACAUGUGUGAAGUUGAAUGUUAGUCAUCUUAGAGUGUUUGGAUGAAUAUGCUUCAAGCAUGUACCUGAACAAUUGAGGAAGAAGCUAGAUGAUCGAAGUCAAACCGUGGUGCUCAUAGGUUAUCAUUCGACUGAUGCAUACAAUAUGUAUUCACCAAAUAAUGAUAAACUUGUGAUCAAUCAAGAUUGUUCUACUGGAUGAAAGCAACGGGUGGGAUUUGAGUCAAGGGUCAGUUCGACAGUAGUCAGAUACAGUUACAAUUGUAUUUGAAGAAGACCAAAAAAUUGAACUCCCAACCAAUCGAAAUGAAGAACCACCUGAGAAGAAUGUUAGGAGAUCGAUUAGAGAAAGAACUGAGUUGACAUGGCUAGCUGGAUAUGAGAGAUUUUCAAAUCAAGCAGUCGUUGCAGAUGGUAACUUAAUAGAAGAGGUGAUGAUGAUGGUUGAAGCAUAACCAAUCAAUUUGGAUCAAGCAAUGAAUGAUUCAAAUUGGUUAGCAGCCAUGAAAGAAAAACUCAGGGCAAUCGAGAAGAACACGACCUGGGAGCUUGUCGAUGAGUCAAUCAAGAAGCCAAAUGAUGUGAAGUGGGCUUACAAGCUGAAACGAAGGCCAAAUGGUGAAAUUGCCAAGCAUAAGCCAAGACAAGUGGUGAGAGGUUUUAUUUUCAAAAACCUGAUAUUGAUUUCGACGAAGUGUAUGCACCUGUGGUGAGGAUGGAAACCAUCAGAAUUAUUGUGUCGAUAGCAACAUACAGAGGAUGGAAGAUAAACCAGUUGGAUGUAAAAUCAGUAUUUCUGGAUAGACCUUUGGAAGAAGAAACAUAUGUCAGUCAACCACCAGAAUUCAAAAUCAAAGGUCAGGAGUCGAAGUUUUACAGAUUGAGGAAGGCUCUCUAUUGUUUGAAGCAAGCCUCAAAAGCUUAGAAUAAAAGAAUAAAUAACUUCCUGAUUGAAGCCUGUUUCAGAAAGUGUGUCUCUGAACAUGGAGUGUAUAUCAUUGAUGCAGACAGGGUCAAUCGAAUCAUCAUAUGCCUAUAUGUAGAUGACUUGUUGAUUACAGGUGAAGAUGAAACAAAGAUAAGAAGAGUUAAGUUGAAACUGAUGCAGAAGUUUGAAAUGUAUGACCUAGGGAAUUUGUCAUAUUUCUUAGGGAUGGAAUUUAAAGACACGAGUGAAGAAGUGUUCAUGCAUUAUGCCGAAGAUAUCUUGAAGAGGUUCAAGAUGAGCAACUGUAAUAUAGUUGUUACACCAUUAGAGUAAAUUUGAAGAAGGAGACAUAUGACGAGUUUGUGAGGGAAACAUUGUACAAAAAAAUCACUGGAUCCUUGAGGUAUCUUUGCAACACCAGGCCAAAACUUUGUCAAACUAUCAGAUUGUUAAGCAAAUUCAUGGAGAAACCUCAAGAAUGCCAUCUCACUGCAGUCAAGAGAUUGCUGAGAUACAUCAAAGGUGAUUGAUCAUGGUGUGUUGAUGACAAGACGAAAGAAGACCAUUAUGCAUGCAGAGGUAUGUGGCUACACUGAUUCAAAUUUCAAUAGAGGUCAAGACGAGAAGAAGAGUAUUGCAGGCUACAUAUUCAUGAUCGAAGGCGCUCCAAUCUCAUUGAGCUCAAGGAAGAAAAUCAUUGUGGUUUUGUCAUCAUGUGAAGCUGAGUACGUGGUUGCAUCAUAUGCAACAUGUCAAACAUGGUGGAUAGAGAUGUUGUCGGAAGAACUGAAGAUAAUGGAACCUAAGAAAAUGAAAUUGUUUGUUGACAACAAGUCAGCAAUCGACCUGACGAAUCAUCCGUGUGUCAUGGUCAAAGUAAACACAUAGAGAGGAAGUAUCAUUUUCUUAGCGAUCAAGUUAACAAAAGAAAGCUUGAACUUGAGUAUUCCAAGACAUAAUAUCAACUAGCUGACAUACUCACCAAACCCCUGAAGAAAGUUAGGUUCGGCGAGUUAAAGAGAAGCAUCAGGAUGAGAAGUCUCGAGAACAUGAAUUAGGGGGGGUGUUAGAAGUUGUAAUUCGAUGCUUUGUUGAAAGCUAGCAUUCGACUAUGUCAAAGUAGCUAGUCGAGGUGUAGGAGUCAGUUGUAUUCGACUGAGUCGAAUACAAUAUAUAGUUGUAAUGUCAAAAUGUAACUUGUAAUUUUGUACUUUUCAUUUUGUAUGUUUUGGACUUGAUUCGAUUUAUAUAGUUUUGGAUAUGGACUUUAGUUGCCUAUAUAAAGGGCACAGUAUGAUUAAAUAACAACUUCACUCAAUAAUAUUUUUCUUUUUUACAAUUCCGUUUCUAUCUCUUUUCACUCUUCUUCUUUUUCUCCUACCUUUCUUGAAAACUCUUUGUUCCAACAAUUUAAUGAUCAAACUUUAUAAUUGAGAUAAUUGAAUUUCUAUUAAAAAAUUUAAUUUUUCAUUAUUUAUUUAAUUAAUUAAAAUAAAUUAAAAUAUGAGUAAAUGUCUGAUGACCUAUUUUAGGAUAAUGAAAACUUCAAUGGACCAUCACCUAUAAAUAUUUUAGGUGGCGCUUAGUUUGGACUCACCGAUUUUUGUUUUUUCUUAUUUAAACUUAUUAAAAAGAAUCAAUCUUCAUCAUCAUCUUUCAUCAUCCAUAAAAAUCUAAUUCUUCCUUCAUAUUCAUCUUCCAUCAUUUUUGAAAAAUCCAAAUUCACCAUCAUCUUCAUCUUUCAUCAUCCUUAAACACUCAGUUUCACACUCGUUAUCAUCAUCAUCAUCAUUUUUCAUUAUCCUUAAAAACUCAUAUCCUUAAAUAAUCUUCAUCUACCAACACCAUUUUUAUCUCAAAAUUCUAAAACAAACAAUAAUCUUAACAAAUAUUGGAAAAAAAAUCCAUAUCUAAAACAAAUUUUAUCUUCAUAUCUAAUAUUUUUUCUUUUGAUUAAAAUCACUUCUCUUUAAAUCUAAGAUUUUCUAUCUUAAAUUAGAAAAAGGAACAACAAAUAUAGAUCUGAAAUUAAAAAAAUUACUCUCUUUCCAAAUAUUUCUGAUUUGAAAUUGAAAAAAAAACUCUUUAUUUACCUAUUAAAAAAAUUUACAUAUCUAAAAUUGAAAACUACAUGCAUGUGUGCCGGAUCUAAAGGCAUCUGAAAUCUAUAAUUUUCUAAUUAUAAUUUUUGUAAUUUUCAAUUAUAUGAAUGAAAAUCAAGAUGGUGAAUUUUAAAUUCCAAAUUAUUUUAGUUUUGUUGUUAAAGUAUUGAUCCAAAUUAAAACAAUGAUGAUAAAUUAUUAGUAAUGAUUCUAAUUUAUGUCAUUGAUGAGUACAAUUAUGAUCCAAAAUGUAUGUUCAGGAUUUGAACAAAGCUUCCUUAAAAUGUAACUCGGAUUUCAUAUAGAGAGAAACUAAUAUACAUGUGAUUAAGUAUAUGCUUAAGACAAAAAAAACUAAAUUGAUAACUCAUAUAAACUAAAUAAUAAUCGUUGAUAAUUUUAUGAUGUUUUGGGCAAAAUAUUAUUUAUCACCAAUAAACCCUGCCGACACAACAAAAAGGGCACAAAAUUGUUUGGUAAUCUUUCUUGGAUUUGAGAUCAUGCUUUAUACUUUUCAUACAAAUUAACAAAAGUAUACAUUCUAUGUCGCGUCACUUUAGAUUAUUUUAUAAUUAGAUCAUGAAAAUUGCAAAUAUAUCAACAUCACAUGGUCUUGCAAAGAAAUUUUCUUCCAAAUUUAAAACAAUCUUUUAGUGAAAUUUUUUAAAUUGAAUAAAAUAUUAAGCAUUUGUAGACCAAUAGUUGAAUUUAGUGACGAUAUACAAUAAUUUUUAUCAGCUUAUCUAAAGAAAUAUUUAUCAUAUAUUUAUAAAAAAAAAAACUACUUUGACAACCAUUUUCAAUGACAACUUAAUUAUUUGUCACUAAAUAUUACUCUUACUUAUAGAUGAACAAUUUAUCAUUUUCUUUUCUUUAUAAAAGAAUAUAUAAUAAAAUUUUAAUUUUAUUACACACAAAUUCGUAUUAAGAGAAAAUUUCACUAUUUAAAAAAGACAACCAAACAUAAUUUUCCCAUUAGUAUUUUAAAUAUUUUUAUUUAUUAUAUUAUUAAAUUAUUUUUUGUUUUAAAAUAAAAUAAAAUAAGAUUGAUAUCUUUUUAAUUAUCUUUUCUCUCUCACAUUUCACGAAAAAAAAUAGUACAAUUACUUAACAACAUAAAAUUUAUUAAAAAGUAGAAAGAAAGCAAUCUAUUAAAAAACCAUUUGAAAAGUUUCAAUUUUGUAAGCUCAUUCACCAUUCUCCUUCGUAUAGUUGAAAAUCAAUCAUUUCCUUUUUAUCGAAGUUUCAUUGAUCGAAAUUGCGAAAUCAGAACUUCUCCUUCAUUUACUGUUCAAAAUAACUUAUUCUUUUUUCUUUAUAAGUGUAACAAGAUUGAACUGUAAAUUUGAGAAAAAAUUCUUCAAACGAAUGAGAUUUAAUUAAAAAAUAAAACAAUUAUCUCAACUAUUAAAUUUUGAAAAUUUUGCAACAAUUUUGUAGAAAGUCGAAGAAGCAAAAUAACUAAAUAUAAAUUCAAUAGCAAUAGCAAGUAAUAAAGAAAGGAAUGAAUGCCUUAAUGUUUUUCUAAAUAUUCUGAAAUUGAUUUAAAUAUAUUUAAUAUUUGCAACCAAAUCAAUAUCUUGUAAAUUCAAAACAAAUUAGAACUUAAUGAUAAUUAUAUUUAUGAAAAAUUGAAAUUGAACAUCAACUGUACCUUUGAAUUAGUAAACAAUGAACAUUGAAGAUCGAUUGUUGUGAACAAAGAACAAGAAGUUAUUACUGUUCUAUAGAAUUAUCCAAACGAGACUUAAUGUUGCUCUAAAUUUUCACGUGUCUGAAACAAUGUUUCUCCCUAACAAAACUUUGAGUUAGAAUACUAAGAUCAGCUGUUCCAGACUCAAACCAUGCUUAAAAAAGUUUGAAGUUAGCGACUCUACAUCUAUAUUUUGAUGAGGUUGUUCUUUAUUGUAUGUUGUGAUCUAAUUUGGUUGUCUUUGAUUGUUGGUAACUCUUGGAUAUGCUCUGUAAUUUCAGUUGUUUCUUUGAGUUAUGUGCAACAGUUGGCAUAGGUUUAUUUUUCUACUAAAUUGAUAUAAUUGGGUUCAAUAUAUUGCAGGUAUACAUAGAGUGCCCAAUGAUGUAAAAAUUUGUGUAGAAUUAUAUCCACUCUUGUAUUCCCAGGCCAAGUAUAGAUUUGUAUCCACAUUUGUGCAUGUGUUUUAUUUCUAUUGCGUGUGUUAAAUCCUUUGCCUAAAAAGGCCAUCUAUGGCCUAGGGACUUGGUAUGAGAAACUGCACCAUAUCAUUCUGCAGUUUGGUUUCAUUUCCAGCAAAUAUGGAAGGUGCAAAUGGAGUUAACACUCCUAUGUUCAGUCAACGCAAACUGAACAAACAUGGCACGAAUAUCAUCUCUGAUUCAACACACUAUAGAUCAAUUAUUGGAGCUCACGAGGCCAAACAUUUGCCUACAGUGUAAGCAAAGCAUGCCAAUUCAUGUCUCAGCCACCGGAUCCUCACUGGAGUGAACUCAAACGGAUCGUUCGCAGUGGUAUUGCACAUCAUGGUUUAGUGUUAAAGCCAACAUAAUCUUCGUAUAAGGUCAUUAUUCGUGUUUAUAGUGGCUCCUACUAGAUCAGUGAUCCUGAUGAUAGGAGAUCCACAACAGGUUCAUGUGUGUAUUUUGGUCCAAAUCUUAUUUCAUUGAGCGCAAAGAAAUAAUCACUAGUGGCACGAUCGAGCAUUGAAGCCGACUAUCGCGCACUUUCUCACACAACCUCAUAAAUCUUAUGGAUUGAAUCACUACUAUCUGAACUCCAUGUUCCAUAUCAAACUCUUGUGUUACUAUGUGAUAAACUACUUGACAAAAAAUAAAAACUUCAACAUAGACAUCCCACCCUAAGUAGUUCGAGGUCUUUCGCUAAAAUCAAUAUUACACCACUAUCUUUUUUUUGGAUGGAAAAAUUAAUCCUCUUAAAACUUAUAUUCAAUGUCCUAGGUGACACAACGUUGUUAUGCAUGAGCAUUUGCACUUGAUAAAUGAUUCAUUGCUUCUUGUGCUAGAAAAUAAAAAGUGUCAAAACCAAAUAGUAUGAAAUCAUAUUAAUUACCAAUACAUGUUUUCUCAUGCUUAACCACUAAUUAGAUAAUUAUGAUACAAGUUACCUACUAUCACAAUUUUUCUAGCAAGGUUAUGGCAACAAUAUCACUUGCUUCUUAAUAAAAUUUAUUUUAAAGUUUUGACAAAUAAUUAUAAGAUUAAUAUAAUUAUAAUAAAACAAAAAGAUAAAAAAAAAUAUUAUUAUUUGAGUGAUUAAUACUAUCGUCUAUUGAUUUGAUUGAAUUUGACGAUUUGAACAUUAGUGAUAUAUUUGCCAACAACUGAUGUUCUGUGGUUCUCAGGGAUAAGGGUAUACUAAUAAAUACUUCAACAAUUAAGUUAAUGGAAAUUCUGAGUGUCAAAUUUAGAAUUUUACAGUAAAGUUUUAGGGUUUAGAGACCCUAGAAAUUUCUUUAGACAAUUACUUUUGGAGAAGGUGUCAAGAGAUCCUUCAAGAUUUCUUCUAUGACUACCAAAUAAUUUGCAUAUCCUAAUGCCAAUUAAAAGGGUCUUAAGAUGUCCAUUUCAUACUAGGAGAAAGACGUUUAUCAGUAUGAUUAGUAAACAAUCAUGAUUUUAUUUCACUUAAGAGAUUAAACUAGAGAAUUCUCGAGGACAAAUUUGUGCAUGAAUGUUUUAAGAAAAUUGUGUUUAAAAUGGUGGUUUUGUUUAAAUUCGUGAGAACUCAAGAACAACAUGAAGAAAAUGGAAAUGUGCAGAAAAAUAUGAAUACUUAGAACGAAAAGCUAUAAGAAUGCAAUUAAAAUAGAGAAGAUAAUGAAAUAAACUGAAAACAAAGUGUUUGCAUUAACAUAAAAUGGUGCACAUUGAAGCUAGCGGAAAUAUACCUGAACGUAUCACACGCUCGAACAUACAACAUAGUCGCCAUCGAACUUUAUUUAUCCCCAAAGGGAAGGAAAAACAUCGAUAAAACCCAGGGGAAAGAGAUAUACUGGGUAAGGAAGUCGGUUAUGCAAGGGGAAGGUAUUAGCACCCCAAACAUCCAUGGUACUCCAUGGGAACCGUUUUGAUUGUUCUCGCUCGAAUAGGUGUGAGAUCUAAGAUUACUCGCAAAAUAAUGAAGAAAAGGAAAUAGAUAGAGUGCUCUGUGAGGAUUGGGGCCCUCAUGCCUACGUAUCCUCAUAGUGCAAUGAAGAAUUCAGAGCUUCGUAGUUCGAAGAACUAGAGGCAGGAGAUGGAAAGAAAUGUGAUCAAAGUAUGGUCUGAACCAAAGAAAACUGUUUUGAACUCCAAAAAGGGUGAAAAGAUGAACCCAAGAGUAAAGCGGCUAUUACCAAUACGUGGACUAGCAGGCCGCCACUAUAAGAUAAAGCCGAAAAGAUGAAGAAAUAGGUGUUUGGACGCAGUCCCAAAUAUCUCUUGGUUCACAAGGUGACGCAAGAAGGAGUGCAAAGAUAUAGCGUAUUUGACUCAAAGAUAACUAGUUUAUCACAUGGAGUGAAAGAAGGUAGAAUAUGAAUGUAUCAUGGAGAUGAAUGGAAGAAUUCCCUAGGGCAGGAGUGAUAAAUAAGUAUGCUCGCGGAUGAUUCGAACCCUCGUGCCUACGUAUUCUCAUCGUGCAAUGAGAAAAUCAGAGCAAUCGUAGUUCAGCCCACUAAGGCUGAAAAGAAAGAGAGAUUCGAUAGGAUUGCCCAGAGGCGAGGUAGCUAGACUGCUUAACAAGCAAGGACGUCGUACUAACCGAUGAUGGUAAUCAACCACAAGGACAAAUGAGAUAUUGCCAGAGUCUGAACUCCAUAGGGCAAGAUAGAUGAGUGCCAUAGUCUGAACUAAAUACAAGGCCAGAAAUGGAUUCCCAGAGUCUGAACUCAAAGGGGGAAACAGAGAUAUAAUGUCAAGGUUGGAGUCAAUGUCAAAGGUUUCCAUAGUCUGAACUCUAUGGGUAAGAUGGAUAAGCAUGCCAUAAUCUGAACUAUAAGGCAGGGUAGUAUGUUAAAGUCUGAAAUGUAUAGCCAAAAUCAAGAUAGCCAGAGUCUGAACUCAAUAGGGCGAGGAUGUCAAGAUCUGUAUCUUAUGGGCAAAGAAUAAAGCCAGAGUCUGAACUCCAUGGGCUAAAGGGGUUUGCCAAGGUCUUCACCUUGAGGGAAAGAAGCAAAGCCAGAGUUUGAACUCCAAGGGAUAAAGGAAGUUGCCAAGGUCUGCACCUUGAGGGCAAGAAGAAAACCCAGAGUCUGAACUCCAUGGACUAAAAGAAGUCACCAAGGUCUGCACCUUAGGGCAAAGGAUAAAGCCAGAGUCUGAACUCCAUGGGCUAAAGAAGUCGCCAAGGUCUGCACCUUAGGGCAAGAAGCAAAUCCAAAGUCUGAACUCCAUGGGCCAAAGGAAGUUGCCAAGGUCUGCACCUUGAGGGCAAUAAGCAAAGCUAGAGUCUAAACUCCAUGGGCUAAAAGAAGUUGCCAAGGUCUACACCUUGAGGGCAAGCAACAAAGUAAGCCAUAGUCUGAACUGAUAGGCAAUACAUGAAGCUAUUGAUUGAGAAAUGGGUAUGUGACCCUUGCUUGAACUGAAUGAGGAUUGAAUGAUUGAUUGUUAUAUAGAAUAGAUUGAUAAAUAAGAUAGGAAUAGAUAAGAUAGCUCGCGAGAAACUGGGUUCUCCUGCUUACGUACACUCAUUGUGCAAUGAGGAAAUCAGAGCUUUCGUAGUUCAACCCACUAGGGCUGAAAACAAGAUGAUGGAGGCAAAAGAAAUGAAUGAUUGAGAUUGAAUUGAUUAUAAUGGAAUGUGGAGUGAAGUGAUGAGAUACUUGACAGUCGAUUGAUAGGAAUCACACUAAAGUCUAUGAAUAAGGGAGAACGCUUUGAAUAUUUGGGGCAUACGCCCCAUACGCAAAGUCGCUCUAGACGAGGAUGGGAGAGACUCCGUCUCGUCAUUCCCUAUUACUUAAGACUCGAAUCGCAUGGUACUUCCCUUGACUGACAAGUUGUUGGUGAAGAACCUUUGUUGUUGAUCAUUGUGUUGAUGUUGAACUUGUAUAAAGAAGACUUGGUAGUUUAAUCAAUUUGUAUUGUACUAAAGUCUAUGAAUAAGGGCGAACGCUUUGAAUAUUUGGGGCAUACGCCUCAUACGCAAAGUCGCUCUAGGCAAGGAUAGGAGAGACUCCAUCUCAUCAUUCCUCAUUACUUAAGGCUCGUUUCGUACAAUUUGAAUCGUAUUUACCAAGUGUUCACCUUUGAUUUAUCUUGUAUAAUCCGCUGCUUGGUGUGACUGAGGAUGCCUUGAUUGAAGAUCUUGACUUGAGGCUUCGAGCUCCACAGCUUAGAAUAAAAGUCCUAUUAAUUGACCAAAAGUAUUUUGGUCACUCAAUUUAGACAGUGAGAUUAUACAAGUUCAAAGGAUUUAAUUGAUCAAAAUUGCUUUUGAUUAAUUCAAUCAUGGGUUUGUUUUGAUUUAAGAAGCUAGGUUAGAACCUAAUCAGGUUAGAGUUGAAUUCACAAGCUAUUUCUAAAGGAGACAUGCAUUUGUUAAUCAAAGACUUGAUUUAAAACUAAUUAAAAUUCUAAGUCUAGAUUAAUCAUAAGGGAGCAUGCAAUUAUUCAUGAGAAGGUCAUAUUAAAAGGUUCUAAAAUUAUUAAUCUAAUUGCUUGAUCAAAAUAUAUUUGACCAAAUAAUUAAAUCAUUCAAGAGAAAUCAAACCAUGAAUUAACAAAAGAAUUAAUUACAGAUUUAAUUACAUGAACCAAAAGAAGAUUUAUCGAUUAGUCAAAAAUUAACUAACACAUUAAUUUUAUUUUUAGCAUUUUAAAUAAUCAUUAAAACUAAAUUAAAAAAGAAAUUAAUUCUAACAUUUUUACUAAACUGAUACUAAUGUUUAUAAACUAAGUAAAUUGAUGUAUGUAUUUCCUAAACGAAUGUAAACUAAAGUGUUAUUUUUAACUAAAACUUAAGCAUCAUUUUUUAACUAAAAUUAAAAUAUCAGGAUAUCUAAAUAAAGCUAAAGUAUAUAUUAAGCUAAAGCUAUUGUUUUAAUUGACUAAUCAUAUGUUAUAUAAUAUAAAAACAAUAUAAUGUUAGUAAAAGAAAUGGUUAACAGUAACAUGAUUAUAGAUUUAAACAUUGAUGUGUAAUAGGCUGCGAAGGAAAAAUAUGAACUAUUUCUCUACAUAAGCCAGUAGCCAACCGCCACUUGACAUGUGGCAAAAAAAUUAAUUAAAAGACAAAGUAAAAUAGGAGUAAUGGUAGUAAUAGAAUAAAUGACAAGAGAACAAAUAUAGAUAUAGUAGUAGAAGGAAUAAAAAUAUCAACUUUGCACAAGUUUCCGAUAACGGAUGACGGAACCGAAUUCGACAAGUUAAUAUGUUGUUAGAUUCAGAAUUUCAAAAAAAAUAAAAUAUAUAGUGUAAAUUACAAAGUGAGUAUUGUAUUGAAAAAAGUAAAAAGUGGGUGAAAAAGUCGAUUAAAGAAUGAAUCGGUUUGGCUAAAAUAUGCAUCGGAAUGAAAAUCUAGUUAUAUAUUCACGAUCGACGCGAAAAAUCGAUUCAAAUGGUAUAUUCACAUGUUAUUAAUAGUUAAGAAUUAAAAAAUCACUAUUUUUAAGUUUAUGUGUCUUUGCAAAAAUAAGUGAUUAUCCAAUAAGCAAUUCCAAAAUAGUAGCUUAAGCUAAAUCAACCAACAAAUAUCCAAUAAUUUAUAACAAAAGUGUGGAAAAGAUGUAGGAUUACCGAUGGAGCGGAGAUUUGCUCCGGUUAGUGUUGAAAAAUGGAGCAUCGAAAAGAAAUCCGGAAAACUUCAAGAAUAAACUUCAUUAAUCCAAUUAACUUCCAAGCUUUGAUGAUUAUUCUUGAUGAUGAAUGAAUAUAGAAGAUGAAUCAUAAAUGUAGAAUAUUGAUGAAUAAGUUUGAAUUGAUGAAUAUUGGAUGAUGAUUGUUGAUGGAUGAUUUUUGAUGAUAAUGCUUGAAUUGUGGAUCGAUAAUUAUUGAUGAUAAUAUAGAAAUUUUUGAUGGCUAAGUUCCACCAUUUUAGAACUUCAAUGUGAAAUUCUAAAUGGUGAUGAAGAUGAACUUUAAUGAGGGUGAGGGAGAAGAUGAAUAUUGAGAGAGAAAUUAAGAAGAAAAAGUAGUGGAAAAAUAAUGAUUAAUUGUGAAUUUUCCAAGUUAGGUUAGUUAACCCCCCAAAAUGUGAAAAAUAACAUGUUUACAUAGACUUGGUAGAUGAAUGAUCAUCCUUGGAUUGUCAUCCAAGUAAUUGGUUUUAUCAAUGGUUAGAAAUUAAUUUAAGCUCAAGUUGUGGAUCACCAAUUUCAACCACAAGAUUAAUAGUCAAAGACUGGCUAGGAUUGAAUGAAAAAAAUGGAAGUUAAAAUUUGUGUUUGUUUGGAAGUUUUGUGUUAGUUUGGAAGUUAUGGUAGUUAAGGGUAAUUAGGUAAAUGGAUGACUUAUGGAGAAAUAGGUAGUUAAAGGUAGUUAAAGACCAAUGGUGUUGGAGUUUAGCAAAAGUACCAAGUUAGGAUGUAAGGCAAAGAGUCACUAGUAAUUAACUUUAAUUCUAAUGCCUUUUACUUUGGUUUUUCACCACUUUUGCCUUGAAUUUUGAGUGACAUAAUCCAUAACUUUUAGUGCUUUUGAGAAGUGAUAUUUUCCCAUAAAUGAAUGAAAUCUUCAAUUUAUUCCAAUCUUUCCCUUUUCUUUGAAUCCAAGCAAACCUCCAAAAUAACUAUGAAUCUCAAAUAAAGAGAUGAUCCCACCACAAGUAAUAUGAGAAAUAAAUCUUAAACCGUUAAAUUUACUAUCAUUGAACCUUUGGCAUAAAUUUGUUAUCAUAUACAAAUGUCGAUGAAUGCAUGAUCAAAUAGAAACAAAGUAUGCAAAUGAACAAAACCAUAAGCUAGACGAAUUGAAUAAAAAAAGUAGGGCAAAUUUUAGGGUACGACACACAUAAUCAUACAUUUCUUACAGAAUCUCUGAAUCACCGUGACUUGGGUGUUGGAUUCUAUAUAGAACUUAAUGAAAUUUGCGACCCUAAUCACAAUGAAGAAAUUUGACUUAUAUAUAAGUGAAAAAUAACUGUCAACAAAAGUUACUUUCUCAGCACUAAACACUUUUCCAAGUACGUGUUUCUGGUCUAUACAUGGCUUCCACACGUCUUUGAUGUUCUAACUGCUUCAAAUCAUAACCUACACUAAUAAAUGUCUUUAAAUCUCUCAACUGCCUUUGUUGAGAAUCUCUAGUCGACUCAUAUAGCAUUGUCGAAGCAUCCUUAGUCCACGUGACCUUUUGAUUCAAAAAUAUAUUUAGUCCUUAACAUCUGAUGGACGCGUCGAACUCGGCACUUGUCGAAGUGCUGAUUUGUGCAAACACUUUUGAGAUUCUGGACAUAUUUUGAAGAGAGAGUAAUCAUAAUCUUGUGGAUCUGUUCCCGAGAUUCUUCCAAACCAGGUUUAGUGCAAUGUCGAAAUUUAUAGGCUAACAAAGGGACAUUGUAAAAGAGUGUGUUCAUUUAUGCGGUUGAUGUCAGAUGAGUAUCUACAUGUUUGUGUAAAAAAUUUGGUUAAGGUUAUAGAGUUAAACGGGUGUAAAAGUUUUGUUUGUUUGUAGAAGGUUUUUCGACUGAUCCUCUGCAGAAGCUCAAGUUAUUUUGUAAAUAUUUUUAGAAAGAUCCUGUGAAAAAAUUCAAGAUUGUUUAAAAUGAAAAUCUCAAGAAAAAACUCUGAGACAAGAGUAGGCCAACUAAUAUAGGUUGAACCAUAAUAAUUCUUUAGUAGAAUUUUUCUUUCCUUUAUCUCUUUUAUUUUAUGUUAUUUAUUUUAUUUAUGUUGCUUAUUUUUCUGUCUCUUUCAUAUUUUAUUAUUUCGUUGUUUUAUCCGACAGUUUAUCUCUUCUUAUAGAAAAAAUUUAAUAAUCAAAGUUUUUAAUUUUUUCUUUUAAAAAUUGAAUAUUAAAAUUUAUCUUUCUUAUUUUUAGAAUCAUUUGAUCAAUAUUUUUGUCUUCCUGCAUUAAACUCUCAAGUUUGAAACUACUUAACUAUCAGAGUUAUAUACGUGGUGGGUCGUUGAAUGUUAUUUUCUUAUUUAAGUUUGGACAUGGUGCGCCCUGAAGGAUCUUUUGAGCAGAGAUGCAGUGUAGCUAGUAAGAUCUCAAGUAAGUAGUAAAUUUAGGUUUUGUUUUAUUGUUAAACUAAUAGGAGGUCUUUGCCUUUACAUGGGCCCGUAAUGUUAUAUCAUUUGUAAGUCUUAUUAUUUUUAUUCAAUGGUCUACAUUACAUCAAUAUCUUUAAAAAUAACUAUGCAUAAUAUUUUUGUUCAUUAUUUUCCACAAAUCACAUAGAUAAAAUCUAAUAACAAUUCAUUAAUAUUGUAAAAAAUUCCAAUACAAUAUAAAAUAUAUUAGAUGCAAAUGUAAAUUAGAAGUAAAUUACUCAAUAAAUAAUUAAUUCAUAAUAAAAUAUAUUAAAUGAAAUUUAUGCAAUGAAAAUGAAUAGCAUAAGUUAAAAUAAAAUUAUUUAAUAUUGUAUUAAAUAAAUUAUUCAUUUUAAACUUUUACAUAUAAAACAGUUAUUUGUUUAUCAAGAAAUAAAUUAUUCAAAAAUAAAGAUUUGGUUCUCAAGUAAAAGUAAUUUGUGAAUUUUUUACUCAAAUAUCCCUAGUUUUUAAAAAAUCCAAAAUAACCCUGAUUUUAAAAAAAAUCUUAAACUACCUCAUUUUAAAGAGGAGACGCCAAACCAAUUGGCGCCAACUCCUAAAAUUAUAGAGGAGGCGCCAAUUGAACUGGCUAGGGCACAUGGUGUUGCCAAUCCAAUUGACGCUCAUGUGUUACUUUUGAGAGGAGGCACCAAUUGGUCUGACGCCUCAGUGUAAUUUGAAAAAACUGUUAUAAAUAGAGGUGUUGUGUGAAUCAUUUUUCCACGUCUCAUUUCAUCAUUUUGCAAACAUGUUUGGUGUUCGUCGCCGCUAUGGAAAGGUGAUUUAUUCGAGAGACAAACCUCAGAUGUUGAUGCUCUUCAGAAACAUCACUAGUUUCGAUCAACUAAAGAGGAAGCUGGUUCAUUGGUUAGAUGGAAAAAUACCAGAAGGGAAAAAAAUUAGAAGUAUUGAGAGACUUGAUAAUAUAUUUGGUUGGGUGCGAGUCAAAACUUAUAAGGAUGUUAGGGAAAUGAUGUUUGGACGAGAUGAGAUUAGUUUGAUUGUUGUAAUCAGUUAGAAAUGUUCUGUUUUAAGUUUGCUUAUGUCGUAGUGAUGUUUGUUGUUAACCUUGUUGUAACAAAAAGUUAAUGAUAUAUAAAAAUCCAAGGUUACAAAAAGAUUAUGAUGCAGAUGUUGCUCCUCGAUUGGGACAAUUGUUCUUAUUGUGUCCUGGUUGAUGAUAUAUACUAGAUAGUCUUAUCAUUUCAUCAGUCGUAUCCGUUUCUGUCCUAAUAUGCGUGUUGUUCGGUCGUCCUUUUUUCUUUCUUCACAUCUUGUCGUUGUGCCAAACUAUGUCACCUUCAUAUGGAGGCCAGUAUUCGUCCAUUAGUAGCACUGAGAAGCUUUUGUUAUACACAUUCAUGACGGUAAUGGCCUUGUAAACAUCAGAUAAAUGGUUGUAAGCGUCCUGGCGAGUAUGUGCGCAUGCUGCAAUGACAUGGGAGCAAGGAAUGCGGAAGGCCUGGAACUUUCCACAGUCGCACCAACUUCUGUUUAGUUUGACAACAUAGGAUAAAUUUGGUCUCCCCUCAUUGUGGUCCAUUGUUUCCUGUACGCUGAAAUUUUGCCUAUGACGGUCAAAGACUGUUACCGCGUGUGUGCUAGCUUUGAUGCUCCCCUCUUUCUUCACUUUCAUACAACACUCACUGAAUAUUUUCCCAGACAUUAACACCACACUCCAUCUUUCACCUCUGGUUGUGAAGGUAGAUGCCAACCUAUAAUAGGUUGAUCUGACCAAGGCGGUUAUUGGUAGAUUUCUAAUGCCUUUGAAUACGCCGUUCAUGCAUACCACAAGGUUUGUUAUCAUAUGGCCCCAUCGACAGCCUCCGUCAAAUGCCCUUGUCCACUGCUCUACUAGUAUGAUAUCCAGCCAUCUUCCUGCAUCUUCAUUAGACAAUCUAAUUUCAUCACGGUAAUAUUGAAAUGACGACUGAGUUAGAGCAUACCCAACAUUCACCACUUUUUUGCGAAGGUUCUUAUCUUUAAUUGCACGCAUGAAGUUUUGCGUGAUAUGUCUAAUGCAAUAGACAUGGGUAGGAGGAGGAUCAUGUCAUGCGUUGUCAUGGUUAUUGUAAGCACACUCAAUGGAAGCAUGUCUAUCAGAAAUCAAACAGAGAUCGGCUUGUGGAGCCACAUGUGUUCUGAGAAAGAAACCACAACCACCACCAGUUUCACCUUCAACCAGAGCAAAGGCAAUGGGAAAGACAUUGUUGUUGCCGUCUUGUGCAACCGCCAUAAGCAAAGUACCCUUGUAUUUGUCGUAUAACUAUGUUCCAUCAAUUUGAAUAAUAGGUUUGCAAAAUGCAAAACCUUUGAUGCACGGGUCAAAGGCCCAAAAGAGACGGUGAAAGAUUUUAUUUCCAGCAACACAGGUACCGCCUGGCGUAAAUGCUGGAAAUGUCUCCAAAAUUGCAACAGUUCCUGAUACGUGUGCUUUUAGUGUGUCAUACCCCAAUUUUGUCCGGGCAUAUUUAAAUUUUUGUAAAAUCGAUUUCAUUUUUAAUUUACAUCAUAAGCACAACAUGACAUGCAUUCCAUCAUGAAUAAUACUUAAAAUAUCAGUCAGAAUAAAUUUAUUGAAAAUACAGACAAAUCGGUUGAAUCAUUUCCUCAAGUACGGACAAAAUCAGCGAAUAAAAAGUUUCAAAAUUAAAAUUGCAGACACCAGUAUUAUUAAUCUACGGUUCAUGUAGUUUAACCUGGUGUGCUCGUUGUAUUUUUCAGCAGUUGUUUCAGUUGCGUUUUGACCUGCCUGAGCCUUUUAACCGGUGCAAACUUAUUUCAGAAUUUGAAGAAACGCUGUAUUUUUUUCAAUAAGUAUAUUUUAUGCUGAUCAUUUUAGUGUGCCCGAUUUAAUUUUCCGUGCACAUUUAUAACCGGUCCUUAUUUAUAAUUGGUCACUUUUUUGGUUUAGUUAUUUAAUUAAAGUAAUUAGAUUUUUUUUUAAAAUCAAAUAUUGAUUAGAAAUUUUAUGAGUAUAUUUCCUUAAAUAAAUAAUAUUUGUUUGCAAAAAAUAAAUAAAUGAGAUCAACAUUGGAUUUCUAUUUUUUGACAACUAGUGCAUCUCCAACGGUAAUAUAAAAUUCCAGCUUGCAUCUAUCUCACACACGUCUUCUCACCAACAAUAACAAAAAUAAGCAGAAAAAAAAAGAAAUAAAUAAGGUGACACCACCACUCCAAAACCCACUGAACUUCUUCUUCCCUCAACCUAGGCGUCGCCCUCAACAACAACUCUCCAUUACUUUUUAAAGCUACCACCAUCCCCAUCUUCUUCCUGGGGAUCCUCAACCCAAACCGUGAUACUCCCUCCAUCUUCUCCCUAAAUCGUCGCCUCCGGCCACGAACCAACAACCUUUCGCCGACACGGAUCUGCAACUUCAACCCUCUCCACACGCCGGUGAUUUUCAUAGCUUCCUCUCCUUCUUCCACCUUGAACCCAUUGACCACUAACCCUCUUCAACAUAACCGACCUACAUACUCCAACCAACUCCACUCAGUCGCUCCUUUCCUUCAACAUAAACUAAACUCAUCUUCUCCAAUUCAACACUGUUUUUUGUUUUGCUUUCGAAAUUGGGAAGGUUAUAUUCUGCUUGGGUGUUAUCUCUUUUUUUUUUGUAGGUUGAGUUUAAUUUACGUACCUGAUCGGGAUACCGCAAAGAUGUGAUUCAAUUAGAUGCCGCGAUGUACACGUUUCAGUUAUGAUUUGUUCCUCUUUGGACCGCCGCUUCGGUUACGGUACCGAGUUUCUUACGUUUCUCAUAAUUCAUGUGUAUCUUGUGAUAAGCUAAAAGUUGUGAUUAAAUUACAAAGUCAAAAUUUGUGCAGAAUGAACAUCCUGCUGUGGAACAAUAGAAAUAUUUUAUUUUAAUUUUAGUAUAUAUUGUAUAAUUGGCUCUGCAUUAUUAGUGUUAAAUUUGUGUAGAAUGAAGUUCCAUCCCUGUUUUAAAAGUGAUCAAACCAACAUAUAAAAUAUUGUUAAAUUAAUUAAACAUUUUCUUAUGAAUUUUUUUAUGAUAUUCUCUUUAUCAAGUAUCAGAGCUAGCAUCGGUGAGGUCGCCGAAAUAUCAUUGCUUUCCUCUGAAAAAAUGUUGAUGUUGCUGCGAAUGAAUGUGUGAUGGAGAAAAGUUAACCCCAAUUUUUUAUUGUAUUAUGAUGUUUAUACUUUUUAUUUAUUAAUCGUUUUUUUAAAAGAAGAGAAUUAUCACCACUUAGAAUUAUUAUUAUUAUUAUUAUUAUUAGUAGUAGUAUGUAGGUGUUAAAAUAAAUUUGGAUUUGGGUCAUUUGAGUGUUAGAGAAUAUGGGUCCAUUUCUCUUUUUUUUUCCUUACCUAUUUUGAGAACUUUUGUUUUGUUAAUGGUACCCCUAUAAUCUGUAACGAACCCAUGUUAUUGAUUGCUUGAUUUUCAUUGCGUGUAAAUUAAUUUUAUUAAUUAAGAUCGACCGACUUAUUUCACCAUUAUUUUCUACCAUCAAUUCAUAAUACAAGCAUGAUUCCAUUCCAUUAUCAAUAUAAAACCAUGAUUAAACCAUUUAGAAAAAUCACACAAUUCUUGAUUUAAUCUCAAACUCAUUUCCAAACACCUUUGUAAGUCAAUUGCCUUUAAAGCAUCGCCAUCAACCUCACAUAGCUUACUCUUGGGCUUUCCUACAAUGAGACCUAUUCAGUUAUUAAUUAACUGAGUAGAUGAUUGAUACACUAAAAUAAUCCCAUUUAUUCACAAACACACAUCCAAGCCUCGAUUCAACAUCAAGUAUUUUCUAUUCAAAUCAAAUUAAGAUACCUAAUCACGAUUAACACCACUUCAUUUAGAGAUGAAAAAGGAGAUGGUUUUGAGUUUUCAACUUCUCUCCUCGAUUAUUUGGAUACGAAUUCUCUUACUCGGUUAGUCAAAUAGUUGUCAUUUCUAAUCCACUUAAGAACAAAAUACAUCGAAUCAUUUUAUAAUAAGAAACGAAAAGGGAGAUGAUUUUGAGUCUUCAAUUUUUCUCCUCGAUUAUUUGAAUACAAGUUCUCUUACUUGGUUAGUCAAAUAAUUGUCGUUCCUCUACAAACCUUAAACCAAGAUUAAAUCAAAUUAUUUUCAUAAUGAGCUAAAUGAAAAGGGAGAUGACUUUGAGUUUUCAACUUCUCUCCCCAAUUGUUUGAAUACGAGUUCUCUUACUCGGUUAGUCGAACAAUUGUCAUUUUUCUGUCGACUCCUACUGUAAGUCAAAUCAUUGUCAAUCAAAACUAUACGAAAAGGGAGAUGGUCUUGAGUUUUCAAUUCCUCUUCUCAAAUGCUUGGAUAUGAGUUGUCUUACUCAGCCAUUCAAGUAUUUGUCGUUUAUUCUAAAACACAUCAACCAUACACAAACUUUUUUCAUAAUUACUCAGAUGAAACAGAAAGCGGUCUAGAGUCUUCUAUUCCCUUUCCCGACUAUUAGGAUACGAGUUGUCUUACUCGGUUAUCCGAGUAUUCGUCAUCCAUUCAAAACACCUUAACCAUCAUUAAAUCCUUUUAUAAUUAAGGAUGAAAAAUAAAAUGGUCUAGAGUCUUCUAUUCCCUUUCCUGAUUAUUAGGAUACGAGUUGUCUUACUCGGCUAUCCGAGUAUUCGUCAUCCAUUCAAAACACCUUAAUCAUCAUUAAAUCCUUUUAUAAUUAAGGAUGAAAAAGAAAGUGGUCUAGAGUCUUCUAUUCCUUUUCCCGGUUAUUAGGAUACGAGUUGUCUUACUCGACCAUCCAAGUAAUCGUCAUUCAACAAAAAUGUCUCAACGCAUCAAAUAUAUAUCUUUCUCGCCCUCAUGCGAUCAAAAUCAAUCAAAAAAAGCGUCAAACAUAUUAAUCCAACUUGUCACCCUCGUGUGAUCAAAACUCUUUUAAGAAAGAACACUGUUAAUCCUUUAUAAUGCGCACAACAAACUAGUGCUUAAGCCUCCGCCGAGAGUAGACAAACCAACGUUUAGCCUUUAGAAUGCAAUUUAAAACAGUUGUUCACUAAAAGGCACCAACCAACCGUAGUUCCCCGAACUACGAAUGCUCUGACUUCCUUAUUACACCAUAAGGAUACGUAGGCAGGAGAUUGAUGUAUCUUCGCGAGCACACUAAUAAAAAAACCUCCCCUUUCCUUUUCUAAGGUUCCCAUCCAUUUCAAUUUCUAAUAUUUUAUAACCCAAAGAUAACAAACAAACAUAAAUUAACACUCGAAACGCACAUUAGAACUAAAAGGUUUCCGUUGAGUACAACGGACGUAAGGGGUGCUAAUACCUCCCCCUUACGUAAUCCACUCCCGAACCCGAAUAUGGUUGCGACGACCAUUAUUCCAUUUCCUAAAGGUUUUAUCGAUAUUUUCCUAUCCCUUCAUUGGGAUAAAUAAAGUUCGGUGGCGACUCUGUUUGAACGUAAUUUUUUCCGCGACCAUCGCGAGGAAUCGUAUUUUUCGAGAUGCGACAUAGUGCCCAUAAAAACCGUGGCAAUUCUUUGUAUGAAUCCUUUCAGUUGCCGAAUACCUGUUCAAUAGCCUUUAUCCUCGCAAUCCACGCUUUCUUGUAAGAUGGAGUAUAAUUAUAUCUUGUUCUGAUAUAAUAUAUUAUUAUACUCACCUUCACUGAUGGGUCUUUGUUAACAAGCGACAAAAUGUCUUGACAUAUAAAUGCAACACUUAAUUUACGGUGAUCUUGUUCAACGUUAGUUGUAAUGCAACUGUGAGGUGGGUCUAUUGAAUCUAUCUCGUUUUUAGAGACGCAACCAACUGAAACUUACAAAGGAUGUUACGACAUUCGAUGACAUACCUUCUCGAAUCAGUGCGUUUCACUAUGAAAUCUGCAGAGUUAUUCAUGUGAAAUUUUUUGAUAGCUUGCACACAUUCUUCUUUAGUGCGGAACAUGUCUUCCACCUUUAACUCGCCUUCUGAUCAUGGAUACGGGUUAUAAAAAACACUGUUGGAUGUUUCAUCGUCAUGCAGAUCCAUGUUUGUCAUAUGUUGAGGCGGAUUCUAUACAUGACUUUGAGGUAAUGGCGCUGGUUGAUCAUCAUCUUCAAUGUUGUUGUUCAACAUAUGAUCGACCUGUAUCUCGGUCUCUUCUUCUUCUUCAUCAACGACGUUAACUUCUGCUUCUGGGUCGACGUCAUCUGAGUAUUGUGAAUAAAAUUCAUCAGAUUCAUCCUUAUUAGUUAUUUGAGAUUGCUGAGAUGGUAUACUUGGUUGAAGAGUAAUAUACAACUCAAUACAAUUGCAACCAGAAUGUUCGUGACUAACAGACAUAUAUUCAACAUCUUCAUCAUCCCGUACCUUUAGUGGGAAAAACUUGCAUUGACUGUUCUAAAAAAAAUGGAUUUUGAUAUGUGAUCUUUGACACAAUAACAGAUCCCAUGGAGGAUUCAAUUUGUUUUUUUAGAUGCAAGAAAUUUGAAUUUCUCUUGAUCGUAAGUCGGAUGGUAUCGGUGUUUCAAAAAUAAAACCCGUAUAACUAAGACUCAUAUGUCUCACCAUUGCAGUGAACAUUGAUAUUAUAUUUCGGUGAAGAUGACAUUGUAAUAUUUCUUGUACAAAUGAAAAUUAAUUUCCUGCUGCAGAUGAAUGUGUGUUGAUUGUUGGAUGUAGAUAGUAAGACACUUAAAUAUGUAAGUGAUGUGUCUAACAUGCAAGCAAGAUGGAAGUGAUAUGUCCAACAUGAAAACCAGAGGGAAGCCAUGUGUCACACAUGCAAGCCCUAACUCCAAUCCAAUUGGCGCUUGCUUGCAAUACUUGCACAUGGCGCCAGUCCAAUUGGCGACACCAUGUCUUGCAUGCAGACCUUGUAACCAAGCAUGCAGAGCCAUGCACGCGCCAUGUUAGGUCAAGAUGUGUCAUGCAUGAGCCUAGGGAGGCGCCAAUUUGAUUGGCUCUAGCAUGUGGCAAAUGCACAUGGGCGCCAAUUCAUUUGGCUAGCACAUGCAAUCACAAUUUUCCAAGCUUCCACACUUUUGCAUGUCACACCUUAUAAAUAGGCAAGAGACUCUCACAUUUCUCUCACACCAACACUCAUUACUUCCUCAAUAACAUCAAAUCUUUCAUCUGCAACAACCUCUUUCAUCUACACCAACCUCUUUCAUCUCCGACAAGAUGUCUCUCCUCAUAAUGGGUGAAACGCAUAGAGGAACAGUUGCAAACAUAGCAACUUAUCUAAGACUUCAAUUAUUUUGUUAUUUGUCUAGAAUACCUUUUAAUAACAUAUCAAAUUAGUAACAUGUUUUGUUGUUUCUUUUAUAGGAUGUUUCAAGGUUCCGAACUCGGGUCCACGAAUAUGUACACAUGGACCCGAUGAUUCAACCGUAUGUCGAACUCGCCGGUUUUGGACAUAUAAGAAAAAUAAUAUCUUAGUCGGUGGAUAAUAAAUCCAUUAUUGUGUUAUGUGAAAGAUGGUGUCCCGAGACAUACACAUUUUGGUUUCCAACCGGUGAGUGUACUGUGACGUUAGAAGACGUCUACAUGCUAUUGGGACUGUCUAUCGAAGGUAAAGCUGUAAAUCAUAAAACCAACUAUGCGAAUUCAAUUUGCAUGGACCUCUUGGAUGCUAAUUUGUUAGAUGAUAACUCAAGAGGUCAAGGUAUACUCCUUUCACGCCUUAAGGCAUACUAUAACAACUUACAUUUAGAUGAACAUUCUACCGAAGAGGCUCGAAUAAUAAAAACUAGGUGUUAUAUUAUACUUUUAAUUGGUUCUUUUUUAUUUCUCGAAGGUAGUGGUUAUAGUAUGCAUGUUAUGUAUUUACCUUUACUAAGACAUGUAGAUAGAAUAGGAAGUUACAACUGGGGAUCCAACCUAUCUUUAUAGCUCUUUGUGUAAAAAUUCACACAAAGACACAUCUACCUUUUCUGGAUGUGCUGUUUUGCUCCAAGAAUGAGGUUGGUCAAGACUACCGUCCCUAGCGCCUGUCAGCAACAACCCAUUCACAUUCCCGUACGCACAAAAGUAAGUUGUUUAAAAUGGUAUAUGUUUACUUACUUUACCGAUUAUAAUCUCUAACUAAUAUUUUUACCUUUAUGGUGCAGAUGGUCGACACGUGGUAUGAGUUAUAACAGAUGUCCUAGACAUUAUAUUAUUCAGUAUCGCAAUCUCUUGGAUCACCUUCGACCGACAGAUGUAUGGAUAAUAACCUAAUUAUUUCGUAAUAAUUUGUUAAUUACUUCUACCAAAUUUAUAAUCUAACAUACAUUCACAUUUCAGUUCAUUUGGCAUCCAUACCUAAAUUUGGAUAAUGACCAUGAAAUCAACGAAGAAGACGCAGCCGUAUGGAUUGCUUGCACACCGAUCAUAAGAUUCACCACUGUGGAGAUGCACAACAAUGAUCGUGUGAAAUUGUAGUUCGGUAUGCUUCAACACAUCCCAGAUCCCCCAACAAACCUAGGAGAAUGACAUCUACGCAAAGUUAACGACCAAUGGAACUUUAACCCAUGGCAAAGCUUCGCUAGAUCUGAGUGUCAUAUGCUUCAACACAUCCCAGAUCCCCCAACAAACCUAGGAGAAUGACAUCUACGCAAAGUUAACGACCAAUGGAACUUUAACCCAUGGCAAAGCUUCGCUAGAUCUGAGUGUCGCAAAUGGAAGCACUGCCAUGACCAUGUCUUAACUGACGUUGUGAUGCCAACUGAAGAAAAACCAAGUCGUACUUAUAUGGCUUGGUACAAAUUAGUUGGUUUUGAGUUCAUCGCCGAGGAUAUGUACCUAUACGACCCACGCCGGGCAACUUACACACCAGACGCCUCAACAUCUAAUCCCUAACAACAUUGUCAGAUCGGCUACACACAACCCCCUAUCCGUCAAACUUUCCGUUCCACAAACACACAAAUAUACAACCCUAACAUGUCAUACACCCAACCACAAUACCAAGAUCAUACCACAUACCACCACCACCAACUAGAUCAUCAACCAGAGACCCAACAUCGCUUCACACCCAACACAUCACCCUACAAAAACCGCCUUAGCCAAAACACUCAACGACCAUUUAACACCAACCGUCCCUCCUCCUACCAAAACCAAGAAGCCCAAAUAUCUCAAAACCAAAACCUUCAACAACCAUAUCUUUACCAAACACCACAAUAAUCUUUCCAACCUUUCAUCGACGCAUCAUUCACACCAAUGUCUCCCUUCAAUCGUUCUGGUCGUCCACCAACAACUCAAACACAACUCAACUACUCUGACAUGGGUCAUAAACUCAGCUAUGGAGAUACACCUUCGAUGCAUACACAAGACUACGUUGAUUUGUCUGACUAUCUCAAUAGGCAAUCUCCUGCAGUUGAUAGUGAUGUUUCUGGGCCCUCAGAUGCUCAAACACCUGGGGUGAAUCAUCAACGUGGAUUUGGGUCAUGGGUUCGGAUAGCUAGGGGAUGUGGGACCGGUGGUCGGUUAGGUGAUCUCGGUCAUCAACAUUAGUCUUUUUUGUGUAAACGAGAUUUAAAAUUACAAAACACACAGAGGUGUCAAUCCAAUUGGCGUCUCCCUUUAACCUUUGCACAUGGGCGCCAAUUGGAUUGACAGCACCAUCUGCCAUAGCCAAUCCAAUUGGCCUCUCCUUUCUAAAUUUAAGAGGAGGCGCCAAUUGCAUUGACGUGUCCUCUUAAAAGUGAGGUAGAUUGUAAAUUUUUUUGAAAUUAGGAUUAUUUUGGAGAAAAAAAUCAAAAUCUGGAAUAUUUUAGUAAAAAAUUCUUAAUUUGUUCCUCAAAUAAAAGUAAUAGUUAAUUAAAGUAAAUUUGAUAUUGUGUAACCCGUGAAAUAAUAUAUCAUUAUAUUUAGGUACUAUUUCUCCCAUCCAUAUUAUCCUUCAACCAUUUAAGAGUUUAGAAAUAGAGCAAUCUUAAUGAUAUCAAUACAAAAAACUUAUAAGUACGUAAAAAAUUAUUUUAUUUUAAUCAAAUUUUAAUGAUAAUGUUAAAAAUAGUUAAUACAAUUUUUUAUAUGAUAAAUAAAUAUCCAAAUUUUUUCGAUUUUAAAGAUUCUUAAAUUAAAUAAUAAUAAAUAAUAUUUAUAAAUAUUUAUUAUUAACUUUGAUUAUUUUUUACCAAUAAUAUUGAUAUUAAUAGUAUAUCAUUAUUAUUAUCACAUUUUUAACUCACAUUAUCAAUACUAAUAGCAUAUCGUUAUUAUUGUCACUUUAUUCAACUACCCUAUCAAUACAAAAAAAAGUUGAAUAUAAAUAAUAUAAAUAAUAUAUAUAUAUAUAAUAUAAAUAGAAAAAAAUGCCAGAUCCAUUAGAGGACUUAUUAGCGAAGGUAUUGAAAAUUUAAACAAUUAUUUUUGUUCAAUUUUUCUCACAUAUCACAUAGAUAAAAUCGUAAUAAUUAUUCAUUAUUAUUGUAGAAAAAUUCAAAAUACAAUAUAAAAUAUAUUUAGAUGCAAAUGUAAAUUAGAAAUAAAUUACUCAAUAAAUAAUUAAUUCAUAAUAAAAUAUAUUAAAUAAAAUUUAUUCAAUGCAAAUGAAUAGUAUACAUUAAGAUAAAAAUUAUUUAAUAUUGUAUUAAAUAAAUUAUUCAUUUCAAAUUUUUACAUAUAAAACAAUAAUUUGUUUUUCAAGGUUUGUUUUUCAAGAAAUAAAUUAUUCAAAAUAAAUAUUUGUUUCUCGAAUAAAUUUUUUUUUUCAAAUAAAAAUAAUAAUUAAUUAAAAUAAAUUCGAUAUUGUGUGACCGAUAAAAUAAAAUAUUUUAUUAUCAUAUUUAUAUAUUAAUUCUCUCGUCUUUAUUAUUCAUCAUUCGUCUAAAAGUUUAUAAAUAUAGCAAUGUUAAAGAUAUUAAUACAAAAAAGUUGAUAAGUAUCAUAUUUAUGUACUACUUUUCCGUCCCUAUUAUCCAUCAAUCAUUAAGAGUUUACCCGUCUCUAUUAAGUGUUUGUAAAUUAUUAGUUUUAACUAGAUUUUAACGUAAAUUUAAUAAUAGUUAAUAUUUAUAUAUUAUUAGUAGUUAGAUCAAUUGUAUCAUCUCAGUGGCUAGUAUUUCUUAAGAUUUUAUUGUUUUUUUAUUUGCAAUGGUUCUUUUGUGGUACUGUAUUUGUGUUUUAUGUGUUUUUUUUUUUUUGCUUUCUUUUAUUAGGACAAUUUUUUUUGUAUUUUAUCUUGUUAUUUUUUUAAGCAUGUCUGGUAUUUGGACUUGAGCUUAUAAUAUACUUUUUACAUCUUACAAAAACAAGGAUUAUAUUAAACAAAUUAAGUCCUUAAAAAUAUGAGAUUUGAGACUUUUUCUUAAAGAAAUGAAUGAAUCAAUUUGAUAUUCACUAUUAAUAUAUAAAUAAAUAUUAUACCGUUAAUAUACGAUAGUUAUUUGAUUUUUUAAAAUGUUUGAGUAGACUUUGAACAAGAUAUUAUAAUAUCCGUUUUCAUAUUUGCAAUUUAAAAAAAUUCUCAUUUCCGACUUCAUAAUCAAAUGAGCACCAAUAUUAAUAUUCACAUAUAAAUUUUAUGAAUAUAUAAGUAUCCGUACUUGUUAGGCGUAGUUCUAAUAAUUUCCAAAAACAAACAAUGUGAUAUCAACAGCCUAAAACUUUUUAUACUAAUAAUAACUAAAUUCUUUAUUAAAUUCGAAUCGGCGGCCUGCUGGAGAACUCAUUCAUUACACAUCUAUAAAAAAAUCUCAACUAAAACAAGACAACGCGCUCAAAUAUCAUUAAAGAAGCAUGCAUGGCCAACAAGUGGGUGGAAUACCGACAUCAUUUAAACACUAGGGUGAGUUCAUUUGUCGAUUAAUUUUGCAUGGCAAAAGAAAGGCCUUGAAGUCUUGAACACAAGUUUCAUGACUUCAUUGAAUUCUAUUUGUUAACAUUUAUACAAGUUUGAGAGAAAUGGGUGAGAGAUAGAUACUCUCUUGUCUCUUUCAAUAUUUCUUUACCCCACCAUCCAAUGUAUUGGCAAGCACCUUUCUAGUGCUAACAAUAUUAAAUUAGAUUGUCCAAUUCACCUUUCUUUCAUUUCGGGUACUUUCUCUAAAAUUUUGCUCUCCAUCUUAAUUUUAUAAAAUAAAUUUUACCACCACGUUAAAUAAAGACUAUCGGAUUUUAUUUGCACAGUAUCCGUUAUCUUGUUAUUUUCUUUGGAGCCUCUUAUAUAAUCUUCCCUUCAAUCCUAUGAUUCCUUCCAUAAUGGACCAUAAUGAGCUGUCUCUACGUUUCUCAUGCUUGAAUGCUCAAAGUAGCAUUUAUUGUCUCACUAAUGACUACUAAUCAUGAGUUCUAACGGUUCAAACAUUAAUUUUGUAACCUCCAUGUGACCCUUAGUCUGCCUCUUAACCGAUAGGGUUGCUAUUAACCCGGUCAUCCGCAAUCUAUCAAGGGUCGACUUAUGUGUUCCACCUAGACUCUUGCACGACCACCUCAACCAACACUAAAAAUAGAGAUCCCGACUAAGCUAAAAAAUUUGGGAUGUCCAUUAUCCUCCAAAGUACAAGGCAUGCAAGGGUGAAGUGUUUUUAGUUUAUCCCGGAUAACACAAACUCGAUCUACAUGCAUUUUAUUUUUAUGAAUUUUGAUGAAAUGAGCUCCCGUAAAUUAGUGGUCUUGAUGAUGAAUCAGUUCCUGAAGGAUUCAUCCUGGCACAUAUUGGGAAGAUUUAUGACUUUAAUGAAAUCGGAAAAAAACUAUGAUUUUAAUGAAGAAGUCGGAGAAUCCUGAUGGAUUUGUGAUGUAGAGAGGUCAAAGAGCCUAUAUGAGAUAUUGAAUCAUUGACAUCGUAGAAUCAAUAGGUUCUAGAUAUGGAUAAAUCGGAGAGCCCCUGUGGGAUCUCGACUUGCUGUCAUCGUAGAACCCGAUGGGUUCUAGAUAUAGAGAAGUCAGAGAGCCCAAUAUGAUUUGGACCAGUUAUCGUCGUAGAACCUGAUAGGUUCUAGACAUAGAGAAGUUAGAGAGACCUUGUGGGAUCUCGACCUGUUGUCUUCAGAGAACCUAGUAGAUUCUAGACAUAUAGAAGUUGGAGAGCCCUGGUGGGAUCUCGACAUGUUGUCAUUGUAGAAUCUAGUAGGUUCUAGACAUAGAAAAGCCGGAGAGCCACAACGUGAUCUCGACCAGUUGUCAUCGUAGAACUUGGUAGGUUCUAGACAUAGAGAAAUCAGAGAGUCCCCGUGGGACCUCGACCAGUUGUCGUUGUAGAACCUGGUGGAUUCUAGACAUAGAGAAGUCGGAGAGCCCCAAUGGUAUUUUGACCGGUUGUGGUCGUAGAACCCGGUAGGUUCUAAACACAAAGAAGUCGGAGAGCCCUAGUGGGAUCUCGACCAGUUGGCGUCCCGUUUUAACUAAGUUUGGCCUUAUUAUUAGAAUUGUGAUAGCCCAUGUGGGUUUUUGAAUAUUAGUAGUAACCAAAUUCUAAAAGAUUCAUACGUUUCACAAGUUGGAAAAUUUCGAGUACAUCUUGCUUCAUUAUUUACAUAACCCAGAUAAGUUGGGGUCUGAUGCCCGAUAAUCUUUGGUAUGAUUAAAAUCAUAGAUUAUUCUCACUGGAGCAUCGGUUCACAAUCGUUUUAUCGUUAGUCAUCAUUUACAGAGCAUUGUGUAAUGUUUGGAUGCUUUUCAGAUCCUUUGACAAUAAUAUUUGAGCCCUCGUAAGACUGUUUUAGUUAUGACCAUGUUAGUCCUUUUAGAAUUUGCAAUGUAUCCUUAAUGCACUUUAUCUCUUUGAUAACAGUCAAUUUUUUAAAUUGGAAAUCAAAUACAAUGGUUGGCCCCAAACGGAUCUUAACUUACCUUUAGCUAAGGUUUUUACCGUAUAGAUUUAAAUCCCUAGUGAGUCGGCCUUACUGACUGAUGGGUCUUGUUAUUUUAAACACAAACCGACCCAUCCUGGAUGGAUCAUAGUGGAUCCCGGUGUUUGGCCGGGAAUAAGUUAACCAAACCGCUUAUGGUCAAAGGUAUGUUAACUUUGAACGGGAUACCUGAUGUAUAUUAACCUGAGUUUUGUUUAAGGUUAGAGGUAUGUUAACUUGACCAGACCAUAUUGACUGAUUUUCCAAAGGUUCUUAUUUACUUUGACUUUUGAUUUGGUCAGAGGUUUCAAUUAACAUAACCCGGUUAGAGAUUUCUAUUUACUUAACAUGUUUUCCAGAGGUUCUUAUUUACUUGGACUUUUGAUUCAGUCAGAGUUUUCAAUUAACAUAACCCGAUUAGAGGUUUCUAUUUACUUGAUCAAUUUGCCAGGGGUUCUUAUUUACUUAAACUUUUGAUUUGGUCAGAGAUUUCAAUUAACAUAACUCGGUCAUAGGUUUCUAUUUACUUGACUGAUUUGUUUAAUUCGUGUGAUAUUUUGGUUUCUUUUGAUCAUAAUAUUUGAUGUCCUCUUACUGAAAAUUUGAGUUCUUCGAUAGGGUAUAGUACCUUCCGACAACCACCCUGCAGAAUUUCAAGAGUUAAAAAAGAGGAGGUGUCUCCCGCCCUCGUAGGGUAAAACAGUGACACUCAUUGCCUAAAGUAAAUUCUAAAUUCGUCAUUAGUUACAAAUGACAGAGAAAUUAGCUUGCCUUAUCCAACAAUAAAAAUAACUAACUAAAGUAUAGAAUUGCAUAUGUCGAAUCUCCUGGUCUUGUCGACAGUCUUGUUUGAUAAAUUUAUGCUCUCCGUAUUAGUAUCGUCAGUCCAUAUUUUAAUACUCAUGUGAUAGUUUAAGAUAUUUCAAUUCUUAGAGGGCGGUAACUUGUCAACUUCAUUAUUUCGGCAUGGUAAUUUGGUUCCUUCUAAUACUUAUGCUUUCUCCCGUCCUUUUCUUAAUAGACCUUUAUUAAUCCUUAUGGUUGAGUUGGAGCAUAUCGCGUAUCAGGUAGAAGUAAAAUUAGCUUAAACUUAAAGUGCACACAAUUCUCUACUUUAUUCAAUUGCCUUGCACUAAGGUCUUAUUUCAUCAAGGAAACACCUGACACAUACGGUGUAGUAGCCAUACCCCUAAAAGGUUGCAAAUGGAGCAAACAUAUAUGUAAUGCCUAAAGCUCAUAUUGAUUUUGACUAAGGAUUUCUUGGAAAUACAUAGUUCAUAAUUUGCUCUCACAAGUGUCUCUCUGAAUAUAAUGUUUCAUCAACUAUAACUUGAUUUAUGUUUAGCUAGUGUUACAAAUAUUCAUUUAACUUCUACCAAUGAAAGAUUGUAGUAUCAAAGUAUUUUACUUCUUAACAAACCCUCAAAUGGUUUAUUAUUCUGAAACCACCUAUUGCUUGAAUUUUAUGAUAGCUGACAAUUAACGCCUGAGAGAGGAUAUUUCAAGGAUUUUUUAUAAAAUGUUUUUCAAUCUAAGUCAGUUUUGUAUUUCUCUGGUUAUUUUUGUGGUCUUUCGGGUCCCUUUUUUGUGGUCUUUUGGGUCCCUUUUUUGUAUUCGUGUACGUCCUCUAGUUAUUCUCUUUGGAGCCUCUUAUAUAAUAUUUUCUUCAACCCUUUGAUUCUUUUCAUAAUGGGUCAUAAUGAGCUGUCAUACGUUUCACAUGUUUGAAUUCUCAAUGUAACGUCCAUCAUCUUACUAAUGACUACUAAUCAUGAGUUGUAGCGGUUCAAACAUCAAUUUCGUAACCCUCAUGCAACCCUUAAUCCGCCUCUUAACCGUUAUGGUGAACUAUUAAUCCAGUCAUUCGACAUCUAUCGGGGGUGACUUAUGUGUUACGCUCGGGCUCCUGUAUGACCACCUCAACCAAUAUUCAAAAUAGAUAUUCCGGCUAAGUUAAAAAUCUCGGGAUGUACAAAUAUUAACAUAAAUUUUUAUAAUUUAAAUAUCUAGAGGAGUAGUUCCUGCAACCUUGACACACCAUUUUUGAGACAGACCAAUAUUUUAGACUUGUGCAUUCAAUUAUGUUUGCUCUGCCCUAUUUUACUGUGGGUUCUUACAAAACUAACUAGACGACAUUUCUGGAUACAUGAUCGUACGCGCAAAAAAUACUAUGAUGUCUAAGUUAUGAAAUAAGAUAUCAAAUAAAAAAUCAUUAAAAUGAUUGUCUGAAUAUAUCAGAGGGAAGAAACCCUCGUUUAUAGAAUGAACGGACUCUAAUAUACUCCUUAUAUUUGUUAUCUUGAGUGAGACAAUAUAAUUGAUGAUUACCGAAAAAGUGUUCACUUUUAUUAGUGGAUGAUUCAUGAUAUAUUUUAGGCAUAGAUGCUUAGGUUGAUGCCAUUAUACACUAUUAGCUAUUUUAUUAGAGGAUCGAUGUGAAACUUUUGAAGAUACUUAUGAAAUGAAAAUAUAUGAGUUGAGGUGGCUCGCCGAUAUGGGUGUACUGAUGUGAUACUUGUGCUCCCUUAAACUCGUAGGUCUAAAAGUGUUGGAAGUCUAAUAUAAGCAAUGAGAUGCCACAUUACUAUCUUGUAUGCGUUAAUGAUCCAUGCCACGACAUGUGUGUGUUGAUUCACUUGGUUGAUGUCAUGAUGGAAUAGUUACUUUUUAUGGCGUGAUCAAGUUCGUAUGAUUUCAUGAUUUAAUGUAUAUUGUCUUAUCGUAAUUAGUGAAUACACAUUGUUUAUAUUUGUUGAUGAAUAGUUGUCACUAAAGAGUUUCUUUUAUAGAAUUUUUUAGUCACAGAUGUGUUAUGGAUAUUAUUUAAUUAUCUAAAAUUGCAGCGGUCUAAUUAAUAUUAGGUAUAUGAUUAAAAACAUAAAUGUCAUGAAAUAUGAGAUUAUUGUGUAGAUACCAUAAGUCAAUAUCUAAAUUGAUGAUGGACUGAAUUAUAAUAUUGAAAACUAAAAAAUAACACUAAGGUUAUUUAUAGGGGUUAUGGUCCUCAUAUGUAGACAACGUGAAAACGAAUCAUUAGAAAAAUUCUCUCUUCAUCCUCAUCAGAGGAUAUUCAAGGAGGCAUAAGGAAACUCUAUAAAUUGGAAUAUCAAAUACCCGCAAAUCUUCAGUGAUUCACAAUGAAAAACUCGGGUACACUUCCACUAUUAUUUUCUGGUUGAAUUCUGAUAUGGUUAUCCACUCAAAUGGAUUAUUUUAGAGUUAUGUUCUCGAUUUCUAUAUCGAUAGAAAUAAAAUUUAACAAGUGGUAUCAGAGCCACCCGUAUCUAAUUCAAUUUGAAUUUGGUUUUUUAUUUUUAUUUUAUAUUAGGAUUCUAAAAUUAGGAUACUUUGAUCUUCCGAUUGUAUAAAUCAAUAUUUUCAUGUUGUUGAUCAUGUAUUUUUGAGUUUAUGUUUGAUCUUUGUUCAUUUUGGAUGUCGAACAAAUUCGUAAUAUUUGGGAAAAGAAAACUUAAUUUCGGCACUGUUCUGCAAAAACAUUUUGUAUGGAUUACUAGCCGAUUACCAAUACUGUAUAUUGUAAACAAGUGGUUACCAAUACUGUUGUUAGCUGGGAAUUUUCCUAAGUGUGGGAAAAACCCAGUUUUUUUAGUAGACAGUGAAGACGUUCCACAGAGUUUGUCAGGUUAAAGUGUCGAAGUCGCAUUUAAAAGACUUAGUGAAAUUCUGGAAGAGAAAGAGGCGGGGUCUUCGACAAGCCAAGGUCGCGUCGAAAUCGACAGCAACAAAGAUCUUCUGAGGUGGCAGAUUCAAAGUUCAAACAUCUCACGUAACCGUAUUUUGGCUCCAUUGUGGAAGACGUGGCAGUAAGUGAGGAGAAUUGGGCAUACGAUGAAGAUGCGUCGACAAGAGAGAGUAACACGUAGCAGUGACAAUUAUGUUAUUCAACUCUCUCUCCUCUCGUCUCUCUCUCUCUCUUAUCUAUAUAUAUAUAUAUAUAUAUAUAUAUUAGUUAAUGAUAGGAUUCGGGGUGCUGACUUGUAUACAAAAAACCACUGAAACUCAGAAGUAUAUGUGUUAUAGAGUGAAAAUGAGUACUCAAGGCAAAAUGUAUGAGUUCAGUUACCAAUUUACAUUUCCGUAAAGUUUUUACUUUUUUUUGUCAAGUUACUUAUUUUCCUUUAGAUUCCCGCACUUCUGCUUUUUAUCACCAUUUAGUUUCCCUGCACCCUUUUAAAUACUGACCAUUUAUCCUUCGACGCCCUUUACUUUUCUUUACGGUUUUUAUGCAAGUUGAAUCCUGUCAAUUUCUUUCCAGCCCCUUUUUACUCAAACCUUUUGUCACAAUUACCCAGAUUUUUGCUUCGUCGAAAUCAGUAGACGUUUAUCAAACGUUACAUCACUUUUACAAAUAUUGCAAAGAAACAAAGUAAUUAGCACAUGUCCCGAGAUUCACUGGUUGAUCCCUUGAGUCACUUUUUGCAAUAAAAAUAGACCAACACUUGUUUAUCAAUUUUCACGGUAAAAAAAUUGGCACGCUCAAUGGGACAGUGCUAACUAUCUUUUAUAACUUUUGAAAAAAAAUCUGCAAAUUUUCACUUUUUGUAGUUUCUUGGUACUUUAUGCACAUAAUGUUGUUAUCUACUCUUGUUGAUGUAUGCACUUGAGGAGCAGUAAAUCGUUGCCAAAAAUGACACAUUCGCCAAUGGAUACAAGUGCUUUCAACACACCACAAAAUGUUACACCAAAAACUAGUGGGGGACCUAUCUUUACCCUAGUAGAAAAUGUGGCAACAACCAGUGGCAUAACUGCCACUACAGGAUUGACAAGUGCAACAUAAAUUGUUGCGUCGCAAGGGGCCAUUACCCUGCCAUAACCAAGCGUCUCUAUACCAACUCCCUUGGGAGGCAUUAGAAGUGGAGAUCCAAGAUCACCAUUCCAAACAAUAUUUACAAUUCCCUCAUUAGGAAGAUAAAUGCCAUAUGGUAUGCCUACAUCGAUGAUGAUGUGCCUAAAUAGUAAUAGCCGUCAUAUUCAGAUAUCACAACGGCUGGGAGGUUCACGUUUAAUAGCCAUCACGCUUCUACGUGCACGCAAGCGGAGUUUUUAGACUAGGAGGAAUCAAUUAUAUUCCUUAUGAUACACCAUCAUUAAAUUCGACAUCCAUUAUGGCCAUGAGGCGGAAAAUGGAUGAGAGUAACCAUGAGUUAGUAAAUACUCUGAACCAACAAAUGGGAACAAGAUUUAACCCUUUAAGUACCAAUACUAGCCAAAGUUACAAAGCGUAGGCGAAUCAGAUGGGUCGAAUAGCCGAUUUCUUCGGCGCCUUUCAAGUCCAAAUGCGACCAACACUCCAGGUGUCAGAUGCUAGGCAAGUCGAAACGCCUGAAAUAGGAACGGACCAAAAUCUAGGGCAACCCAUAGGGUUUCGACAAGUAGAUCCAAAUAGGGACGAAGAGGAGUACAUAGCCCAGCAUACUCCUAGGCCCAUUAUAGUGCAGAGGAAUCACUACGAUAAUCAUGUACUAAGAAAUGUCCAACGAAAUAAUAUCGCAGGACAAAACAAUAUAGUUUUCAUUGUCGAAGCGAUUAUGGCACAAAAUGGGUUCAACAUGGGGUUACAUAGACCCACUUUCGUGUCCCCAUUGCUAGAGUUCAUUAGAAAAACUGAGUUUCCUAGAGGAUGGAAAGUCCCUAAAUUCGCCAAGUUCUCUAGGGAGACCAAUGAGUCCACAGUGGAACAUGUCGCCAGAUAUCAAAGUGAGGUGAGCAACAUAACAAAUAAUUAGAACUUGAAAAUGAAAUAUUUUCCCUCAUCGCUAAUAAAGAAUGUGUUUACGUGUUUUACGACACUACCUCCAAAUUCCAUACACACUUGGAAUCAAUUGGAAAAUAAUCUUUCAUGAACAGUUUUACAUGGGCCAAUCAAAGAUAAGUUUGAAAGAGCAGGCCAUUGUAAAAAGAAAGGUUCUUGAGUCUAUAGACGAAUUACCAGUCACCAACAUUGAAACCUGUAAUCGCCUUUUUGACAACAACAACAACUCAUGGUGCAUGAAUGAAUGUAUGCAUUAUCACAAUAACUCAAUAACACAAACGAUAUCACAUUGAACCACAUAAUUUCCUAUACAACAUCAACAUGAUAGUUUCACAUCGAAACCAUUCAUCUCAACUCACAUGUCACAAAAACACGACAAGUAAAUAACCUAUAAUUAUAUUAGCAAUUUACCACAUCAAUUUAUCAACAACAGAAACUCAAUGUUUUGCUAAACGAUUCAACAUAUCAUCAUGAAAACCGCAACAACAUUACACACAUAAUCUUAAUUUAAUCAUCCCAUAUCUCACCACCACUGUGUAGUUCAACAUGUUAGGUUUCCAAUGCUUCGAACGACAUCUAAAUCGGACAUACAGAAUGAAAGUUAUAACUAAAAUCGUCGGGAUAUGUCAACUAAUUCGAAAACAAAUUUGUCUCAAAAUUAUAUUAUGCAAUAGAUUGCAAUCAAUGUGAAAUCGAUUUCACCGAAAUAUUUUUCAAAAAUUUCCACUAUGUGCAAUCGAUUCACACUAAAGAAUUUUUAGUGCAAACGAUUGCAAUCAAUUGACACUGAAGGAUUUUCUAAAAAAAUACUUUUCUUUGUUACGAUUGCAGAACCAAUUCUAACCCUUCAAACCUCAUAUCAGUCCCAAGUUAAUCCCCCAAAAACUCUCAAAAUCGCAUUCUAACAUCACCAACAGAUCAAACAUGAUUAAAUUGACAUAACUACACUUUUACCUUAUGAUUUCAUCAUCCAAAAUCAUGCCUUAAAACACUAAAAUUUCAUCAAAACUCAAUAACACACCAUUGUAACAACAACACACCAUUGCAAUUCAACUCAAUCAUGUAAAAACAGAACUAUCAACAUACAAUUUAUCAACAAUCAAUCAAUAUUCAACAACAUCCAUAAAAGUUCCUUAAAAUUCAUCAAAACAUCAAUUUAAGAGAAAACCCUAUUGGAGGUUAAGGAAACCUCUCUACCCUUUCAUGAUUUAGCACCCAUAGAUGAAUAGUUUCCCCUUACCUUAGAUUUCAGAAUUUUCAACAAAAGGAAGGUGAAUUGGUGUUCUUCUCUCAAGCCCGAGCACCCCUCUUCAAGCUUUCUUUUCAAAAUCUUUUUCUAUUUCACGUACUGAUAGAAUGAGAGUUAUUUCUCUCUAGUUUUCUAUUUUUAUAAAUAAUUGAUUAUCUCUCUCUAAUUAUAUCUUUGACCCAACAAACUAAAUAUCUUACUCACUUCUCCCCUUAAUUUAUAUUAAUUCACAGUAUACACCUCAUUCUUACUAAUUUUCUAUUUCUAUUAUUUUAAUUUAAUUAAUUCUAUCCAACCAACUAAUUAAUUCACAUAAUUCACACAAAAUAACUAUUUUAAUUAAUUUCACAUCAAUUAAAUUAAAUAAAUAAGUAAAAUAAUCGAUAAUUCUAAAUCGGGAUGUUACAUGUUAUGUGUAUAAUAUAUUAUAUAUGCUGUUUUUUGUGGGAUUUAGGUGUUAUGGGAUCAAAAUCGGAGCUUUAGAAGAGCUCAUAUGGUGGAAACACGGUUUCUGCGUUCUGCACAAUGGUGACGGGUGUCACCACCAUGAUGAGCCGACUGUCAUUGUGCUGAGAGUUGAUGAUCGUCAACCUGAUUACAGACCAACUGUCAUGGUCUUCAGAGUAGAUGAUCCUGCUGGUUGUCGUCGGGAUGACGAUUGUGUGAGGAGGGGGAUGACAGACACAUCAUGAUAACCGACAUGACAUGUGGGUUGACCGUCAUGACCUAUGUUAACCAGUUUUGGAUCGUCGACUCUACUUUUAAUAUACUUUCUGAUUACGGCGAUAUUUUGUUCCUUUUUUGAUGAGUUUGGUAAGACUGAAUCAGUGUUGUUAAAUGUUGUUGUGAAAUAAAUAUAUGUCGGUGAGGUUUGUGGUUCAGAUAAGAACCAAUAGGUAAUUGAAUGAUCAGUGAUGAGACUAAAUCAGUAAUAUAACUAUGAUGUCCGAAUAUUGGUGAUGAGAUUGUUCAGUAACAUAACUUUGAUAUCUAAAUUGAUGAGUAGAUUGAUACCACAUGCAUUUUGUGACGAGGUAAUGAUUGCAUUAUAUAUACAUAUGCACUUAUAAUUGAUAAUGGUUGUGAUAAUAUAUAUUAGUAAUGAUCGUGAAUAAUAUAAAUACGUUUAUAUUGAAUGUCUUAUUUUUUACUAUUUUAUACACCGUUAAUAUUUUUGAACGUAUUCUUAUAUCUAGCCUAAAGAAAUUCAACAAUGUUAAAUUUUUAGGAAUAUUGAAGUACAACUCAUGCAUAAUUUAACAAAUUUAAUUUAAUAAAAGAAAAAUUAAAAAAAAAACGGAAAAUCACGUUCACAAGAGGAAAUGACACAAUUUUUUUUUUAAGAUGCAAAAUGGAUUUAUUAUAAAGAAAGAAUAAGAUAAGACUAUGUAUUGCCAAUAUAACGAUUACAGAAUAGUAAAUCAACACAUACAAUGCAAUUGUGAUUUGCGACGGUAUAUAGUAAACCAACACACAACGCCGAACCGGUUUAAAAAAAGCACACAAUAUUAACCGGUUCGGUUCGUUGGACCCGGUUCAGAUCUGUUUAAAACAAACCACCGUUCUCCGUGACCUUUUCAUUGAUUCGUUUUCCGUUACCAUGAGUGGGACCCAACUUUUCUCGCCCUCAGAAAUCAUGUGUCGAGAAUGCCACGGUUACGCCACGUGUCCUGAAAGAGAAUCGAUACGUGUAGAACAAACUCCAAUAAUUCAUCCAGGUGUGACAGCAAGUCAGAACCCAAUGAUAGAACCGGAUACAGAGAACCAUACCCCAGCAUCCAGAAAAAUAAAUAAAACAAAAGAGAAGCGGGUACAGGGAGUUACCAUGGGACCGGAUGUAGGAGAUAAUAUCCAUUCGGCGGAGACGAGUAGAAAGAAAGCAAGUUUUAUUUAAACCACGCGUUGUGCCAGCUGUUAAGUACGUGGAGUCCGUGAUUGCGUGCAGAAUGGACCAUGUAGGACCCACUUCACUCUCUCUGCACACUACUAGUACACUACAUCAAUUUUAUUGUUUUUCUUAAUUUAAUAUUAUAUUUUUUUAUUUAGUUUUUUUUGGAAAUGAAAAAUGAUAUGAAGGUGGAUGAUGAACUAUCACUUAUCUGUCAUGCUGGCUACUACUACCCACUUCCCUUACUUGUCAGCAAUCCCAUUCAAUAAUAGCCUCAGGUUUUUCUCCUACACUCAAACCUUAAUUAUUCUAUAUCAUUUUUAUUCAUAUAUAGUUUAUAAUUUAUAUAUUAAUCAUUUAAAGUAUUUUAUUUUUUAAUAAUUUAACUGAUUCGGUUCCAUCUUCAUAUGCAUGUGUUUUUAUUAAAAGAAAUCUUCAUAUGCAUGUUUUGGAUUCUUCUUCUACACUGCUGUUUGAUGAGACCUCUUUAUUUAUUGUUUUUUUUAUUAAUGAAAUGCUGAAUAAAGGCCUCUUUUAUUUAUCACCGAUAGCAUAGUUGACUUUGACCACCAUCCUUUAUUACCGACACAUAAUCUCUUGGCCAUUUUGCAUCUAAAAUAGUACUAGUACUCCAUAUUGUGCACAUUUCUUAAGUAAAAUAAUGGAUUUUUAUAGAAAAAAUAGUUGCAUUUAUUAAAAUAUUUUUAUCAAUAUUAUCAUAGUUAAUAAAAAAAGUUAUCUAUAAGUAAUUUUUUUUAUUAACGUGAUUUUAGUUGGAUUAAUCUAAUAAUUAACUACACAAAACAUAUGAAAUAUAAAAAUUAAAACUAAAACUAUAUUUUAGUAAAAAAAAACACCCAAAAAUACAUAUAGUCUUAGAGUCAACCACGUCUUCAUUUCAAAUUACUCUAGAAAACCAGAACUUUUACCCAAUAAAACAUGUCUUCAUUUCAGAAGUUGCCCUCUAGGUGUUAUAGUUGAUUUAACUUUUUUUUAAAUGUUUAUGGUAAAAUUAGCUUUCAUAAAAUACUUAAAAUUCCUUGGAUGACUCAACAAAGGAAUUAUCCACAUUACAUUUCCCCCACUUCUUUUUUUAAUACAUAUUACUUUUUAUGAAAAAAUAAAUAUAGAAAAGUUAAUUUUAUUUACUAUUGUUAAUAUUUAUUGGAUAUUUAUUAUUAUUAAUAUUUAUUUAAUAAAUAUAAAAUUUAAUUAUUAUACAUCGUCAAUAUAAUUUUUUUAUGAUUAUCAUAUUUAUAAAUAAAAAAUAAAAAAUGUUUAUAAUAAAAAUAAAAAUAUCUCUAAUAAUCUAACUAUAUAAUAAUUUAAAUUAAAUUAUUUUGUAUGAUGUAUACCAUUAAACUCAUAGAUAUAUGCAAUUUGAUACCCAAAAUAUACAUAACUAUUUUGUUUCCUCAUAUACAUUCCAUUGUAUAAGAAAGUAGUCUUGAAAGGGUGAAUUUGUUAACUAUAUAAUAUUCCAUUCUAGAAGUAGAAACUAAGUUACACAUUUAAUCUUCUUCUAUUUUAAUAUCUUGAUGUGCAUUAUUUUCAUUUUAAAUAAAAAUCAUCUAUUAUUAACCAAUGGCUCAUGUGAAACUUGGUGGAUAAGACCAAAGAAGAAUAUAACUUUUUUUUUCUCACCCUUUUUCUCUCUCUCUCUCAGAAAGUGAAUAACUUGGUCAUCAAUUAUACUCACAUCAAUGAAAUGAGAUCUUUUAUAUAAAAAACAAACUCUAGUGAGAGAAAAACUAAGAAUUUAGUUUAUGUUUUCUUUAUGGUAAUGUGAGAGAGAUACAGAGAGAGAGAAAGAAGAAGAAACAAAGUGUUUUCACUGAUAUUCUCUACUUCUCCAUUCUAUGAACAAAGUUGAACAUUUUAAUCUUCUGGGGUGUGAUAAAAAUUGAAUCUUUUUAUCUUAUUUCAAAGAAUCACAAACAUGGCAAAACCAGGGGUGUUAGAUUCUGAUCCAGAGAUUAUGGUGAAGAAAGUUCUAGAGAUGAAGAAGGAGUUAAAGAAGCUUGUGAGGUCCAUUGUUGAGGAUGAAGAUACAAGCAUUGAAGCUCUUGAUAAAGCUAAAGAAACUCUUUGUGUUCUUAAGGAUUUGAAGCUUAGAAAGAAAUCUCACUCUUCAAUGUCUUUUAAGAUAAACAAAAAUGUUACUUUCCCAGAUGAAUUCAAAUGUCCACUUUCCAAGGAAUUGAUGAGAGAUCCUGUCAUUGUUGCUUCUGGUCAGGUUAGUGCCAGAAAUUUUGGUGUUUGAGUUCUGAUUUUAAUUUUUUUUUGUUAAUAUUGAGAAGAUGUUGGAAAAAUAUAGAAAAAAACAAAUAAAAUUGAAAGUUUUGUUUUUUUUAUUCUUUUGUGUAAAUAUCUAGGAACUGUUACAAAAAAAGUUGAGGAAUAAUCAUACAUUAAGAUAUAAGCUAUUGAUUCUGAGUUUGGCUUUUUGUCUAUCUCUUUUGCUGGAAUUUUUGUACUAUAUUCUGUUAGCUGACUAUAAAGUUUGUGGUAAAGAUAGAAAAGGAAUAUAUUCAGAUUUUUCCUUAUCAAGAAUCUUGGAAAUGUAUAUUUCUAUACUAUGAUCUUAAUAAUAUAUACCUCUUAUUAUGUCAAGCUCAUUGAUAAUUCUGCAGAGACAUCUGAUAACACUGAUGAGGACGCGGGUUAGGGUGCAAAUUCUAACCCGUAGCGUCUUAUUUAUUCACUUUUAAAAGGAGAUGAAAUUCCGAUCAUUAAUCUAUUAGACCAGGAAAUAUAUAUAUUAGAAUUAUUUAAAAAAAUUUGAAGUCCUGUAUAGAGACUCUAUGUAAUCAGAGUUUAUUUAAACAUGAUUCAACUCUGAUAAAUUUUGUGUCAUGUGUGAUAGUCUGUUUUAUACGGCCUCAGCCUCAGAGAUAGAUGGCCCUAUGUAUAGCUCUUAUGAUGUUUUACAUUUUUUUUUUGUUCAAUCUAUGUUUUUCAAUUAUCUAGUAGUUUUUGUUCAAUCAAUGUUCUUUGAAAAAAGAAAGAAAAAAGGGAGUAAAUUUGAUGGAAAGAGAAAGAGUGGGAAGUAAAAAAUGUACAAAAUAUUCUUUGUUCUUGAGUGAGUAGUGGUGGUGAUUGUUUCUUUGUGUAAAACUUUUGACUGAUUUUCACAAAAGGGAAUAAUUAAAUUUUAUUGUUCUCUAACUUUUUUUCUUUUUCCUAAUUUUAACUUUGAUGCCUUCCCCACCAAAACUACCUUUUCUUUUUUCUGUCUCACUCUUUUUUCUGUGCAUUGAUGCCUCAAGAUCUUUGUUGAUUGAAUCAAUAAUGACUUAAAACAAAUUGGAGAUUUUUUUCUUGUAUAAUUAUGAAAUUCAUCCAUAUUAUUUACAUUUAUUUUUAAAAUUUUGGUCUAGUAGUCUAAUAGUCAGAAAUAAGUGAGAUUCGCAGGUUUGAACUUGCGUUCUUGAAACUGGAUGUCUAAAUAGUUAAUGAAUUUUAGUUAAAGACGAAUCGCUCGGGUGAAUCUGAGUCUAGAUAAUCAUUUACCCGACUUUAGUUAUUUCUCGGCUAAAUUUCGGAUUACAUGAUAUUUGUUGGUUUAAAUUUUGCAGACAUAUGAUAGACCAUUCAUUCAAAAAUGGUUGAAGGCUGGAAAUAGGACAUGCCCUCAAACUCAUCAAGUUCUCUCACACACUCUCCUUACUCCAAAUCAUCUUAUAAGAGAAAUGAUAGAAAAAUGGUCUAAAAAUCAAGGGAUUGAAUUGUGCAAUGUUAUUAAUUAUAUCAAUGGUGAAGGUGCUAAAGAAGCUGAUCAGAAUCACUUUUUAUGUUUGCUUGAGAAAAUGUCAUCAACACUUUGUGAUCAGAAAGAAGCUGCAAAACAACUUAGGUUGUUGACAAAGAAGCAUCCUUGUUUUAGAGUACUUUUUUGCGAUUUUGAAAAUGCAAUUCCUCAAUUGCUUAAGCCUAUUUGCGACGGAAGUAGUAUUAACCAUGAUCUUCAAGAAGACGUGAUCACGACACUUCUCAAUAUCUCGAUUCAUGACAACAAUAAGAAACAAGUAGCUGAAACUCCAAUGGUGAUUCAUCUCCUUAUGAAGUCAUUGAGAUGUGGAACAAUCGAGACACGAGCCAAUGCUGCAGCGACCCUUUUCACGUUAUCAGCACUAGACUCGAACAAAGAACUUAUAGGAAAAUCAAACGCCUUGAAACCGCUUAUCGACCUAUUGGAAGAAGGGAAUCCCUUUACUAUGAAAGAUGUUGCUUCAGCAAUAUUCACAUUAUGUAUGAUGCACGACAACAAGGCAAGAGCGGUGAAAGACGGUGCGGUUAGAGUGAUUAUGACGAAGAUGAAAAACCGGCUUCACGUCGACGAAUUACUAGCUAUCCUCGCGUUACUUUCGACUCAUCAGAAAGCUGUUCUUGAAAUGGCAGAGCUUGGAGCUGUUCCUUGUUUGCUAAGCAUCAUGCGAGAGAGCUCGUGCGAACGCAAUAAGGAGAACUGCGUAGCGAUUCUUCAAACUAUAUGUUUAUAUGAUAGAUCCAAGUUGAGGGAAAUAAAGGAAGAAGAAAAUAGUUAUAGAACAAUAUCUGAACUUGCAAAGAAUGGAACAUCAAGGGCUAAGAGGAAAGCUAGUGGAAUUCUUGAGAGGUUGCAUAGGGUUGUUAAUAUCACACACACUGCAUAAUAAUGUUCCUUGAUUCUUCUCUCUCUCUCUCUCAAGGUAUAUUGUUCAUAUGUGAGCCUUUAAGUUAUUGAAGGUAAAAAUCUAUAAGCACUUAUGUUUCAAAAACAAUUAUGUACAUUCUUUUCUCUCAAUGAAGUUAUUCUCAUGUUAAUUAGCCAGUUACAGAAUAAAGUGAAGCUAUAUAUAUAUAUGCUCUUUGUCGAUGAAUUGUUAAAGAAUUUCUACAAAGUUCUCCAUGUGUAUAUAUCAAUAUAUCAAUAUUUCACAUGGAGCAAAUCUAGUUUAAUGAAAACUUUAUAGUUCUAUACCUUGCAUAGUACCUAGGCAUCAAAGAGCAAAUCUAGUGAAGGGAUAGAAAAAAUGGACAUUCUAGUUCAUCAAUAGGAACUAUACGGUGAGUGACCAUGCAAUAUUUAUAAGUUUUGAAAUGUUUCGGACACUUUUCUAUGGUCUCAAAUAAUUGGGGAAAAUAUAAAAACUAUUAAGAUUGUGAAAAAUCUCUAGUAAUCUUCCUCUUUCGAAUCUCUAAUCGGCCAAAGAUCCGAAAAAGCAGACAUAAUCUAGAGCAUCAAAAAGCAGACAUAAUCUAGAGCAUCGUCGUAAAAGACUGGUGAAUAGGUUAGACCUCCCUUAAGAAUCAUACACCUGAUCCCAACUACCAAGGUGUCAACUACCAUUGAUUCUGAUCGGUUGACUCCCUACAUCGCAGUUAAAACAACACUUUUAUAAUGAGUUUAUAUUGAGUAUAAGAGAACACAAAAAGUCAAAUCCUUAUUCCUUCACAAAACUAAAUAACGUGGAACUUCAAAGAACUUGUAUCCUAUAUGUAACCUCAGAUUAUCUCUUCAUUUGCAAAAUUAAGGGAUGUGAGACUUUUUCAACAUGUAUAUUUUCAACCAAUCCCAACAAUCUCCACCUUGAUUGAAAAUAACACAUAAACUUUCAUGGUUUUCACCGUAAAGAGUAUGAACAUAAUGUAAAUCAGGAAAUAAUCUUUGCAUUUAUUAUGAAUAAUUUACUUUUAUAGAAUAAGAAAUUAGUCAUUACGAGUUGUAAUUAGUCAUUAUAAAUUGUAAUUACAUGUAAUUACUGACAUUAUUAUAUAUAAUAUCAAAUGCAAUGAAAAAUGCAUCAAGUCAAUUUUCCUGAUAUGGUAUCAGUAGGUUCGAUCAAACCUGGAAAAUCUUGUUAUCUUGGCUGAACAACGAUACCCCAUUGGUUCGCUCUCGUAAUUGUGUUCUUUGUUCGUGUUCGUUUCAAAAUCCUUUCUUUCGAAAUCGAAACCUUGUAGCUGCUUGAGAUUAUAAAUCCUUGGUUGUCAUUUCGUUAUUUCGUCUUGGAGAUUCUCGUUGUUGCGCAGUUAUCGCUAUCGAUUUUUGUUCUUGUUCAUUUGGUUGCGUUCAACCCCGUCGGUCAAACCUAUUGCCAUCGUGAUUAUCUAUUGGAUUUAUGGUUUUGGUUUGCUGUUGCAAAAUGUUUUUGUUCUUGGUUCGUGAUUCUGGAUUGUGAUAAUCUUCUGCUAUUGUCGCUCCUUCCAUAUCAUGGUAUAUGAUCGUGGUCUUGUUGUUGUUCGUGGGUGGUAUUGUUACUACGGUUUCUAAUUAUUUCUUGUUGCUGACCACUUACUGUUAAUAUUAUAUAAUAAUAAUUAUUAUUAUUAUCAUUAUAAUAAUAAAAUAAUUAGUGUGAUUGUAUCUGGUGGCAUAAUAAUUUAGAUGGCUUCAGAAAAUGAUAAGAACUUUUGUGUCUGAUUUAUCAGAAAGAAUUAUUCAAUUUGGAAAUUUCGAUUCAAAAAUUAUGUCAAGGGAAAUGGAUUGUGGACUCACCUAGAUGGUGUAUCCAAGGCACCAACUGAGAAAGUUGCACUAGAUACACGAGAAACUAAAGAUGUUCAAAUAAUCACUUGGAUCCUCAGUAUUAUUGAUCCUCAAAUGAUCAAUAAUUUACGCUCAUUUUCAACUACUCAAGAAAUAUGGAACUAUUUGAAGCGUAUUUACAACCAAGAUAAUGCAGCCAAGCGCUUUCAAUUGGAGUUGGAGAUAGAUAAUUACAAACAAGGUACUUUAUCUGUUCAAGAAUAUUAUUCUGGUUUUCUGAAUCUGUGGAUAAAACAUUUUUCUAUUAUACAUGUUGGUGUUCCCAAGACUUCUCUCGCGGCUAACCAAGAGGUCUAUAAAACAAGUAGUCGAGAUUAAUUUCUCAUGAACCUUCGUCCAGAAUUUGAAGUUGUCAGAGGUGCCUUGCUGAAUAGGAAUCUUGUUCCUUCUUUAGAUACAUGUGUUGGAGAACUUCUAAGGGAGGAACAACGACUUAUUACUCAAGGAGCCAUGUCUCAUGUUGCAGUCAUUUUCGAGCCAGUGACAAUUGCAUAUGUUGCUCAAAGUAGAGGUAAAGAUCGUGAUAUGAGACAUGUUCAAUGCUUCACUUGCAAACAAUUUGAUCAUAUUGCUCGUAUCUGCAAUAAGAAGUUUUGUAAUUACUGCAAGCAACAGGGUCAUAUUAUCUCUGAGUGUCCCACAUGUCCUCCACGACCAAAGUGGGAAGAAUGUUUCCACUCCAGUUUAUUUCGAGUCAUUUAUCUCUUGCUUGUAAUAAUGUUUUGAAUUCUUAUGAGGAUUGGCAUAGAAAAUUGGGUCAUCCAAACUCUUCUGUUUUGUCUCAUUUAUGUAAAACUGGUUUGUUAGGAAAUAAAAUUGUUAUUUCUAAUGCCUCUGUUUCAUGUUCUGUUUGCAAAUUGACUAAAAGUAAAACACUUCCUUUUCCGUCUGAUGCUCACCGUGCCUCCACUUGUUUUGAGAUGAUUCAUAGUGAUGUGUGGGGAAUGUCUCCUGUAGUUUCUCAUGCUCACUAUAAAUAUUUUGUCAUAUUUAUGGAUGAUUAUAGUCAUUUUACUUGGAUAUAUUUUCUCCGUUCUAAAUCUGAAGUGUUUUCUAUGUUUACGAAAUUUUUGACAUAUGUUGAAACUCAAUUUCAAAGUGUUAAAAAUUUUCGCUCUGACUCUGGUGGUGAGUACAUGUCUCAUAAGUUUCAGGAAUACCUUCAAUAAAAAGGAAUCUUGUCUCAACGAUCUUGUCCCAAUAUCCCUCAACAAAAUGGUAUGGCAGAACGUAAGAAUCUUCAUUUGCUUGAUGUAACACGUACCUUACUUCUCCAAGCUUCUGUACCAUCCCGAUUUUGGGUGGAGUCUCUUUCCAUAAUUGUCUUCUUGAUCAAUUAUCUUCCUUCUACGAUUAUUGAUCUUGAUUCUCCUUUCUUUCAUCUUUUUAAAAUUCAUCCUGAUUAUAGUGCUUUAUAUACUUUUGGGUGUGUGUGUUUUAUCCACUUACCUCCAUUUGAAAUGCAUAAGCUUAGAGCACAGUCCGUUCAAUGUGCAUUUUAUGGGGUAUAGUCACUCUCAUAAGGGAUUUAUGUGUUAUGAUGUCACUAACCAUCGUUUUCGUAUUUCUAGGAAUGUGACAUUUUUUGAUAAUCAGUUUAUGUUUCCAUGUGUUUCUCUUGCCAUUAAUGAUAUUUUUACUCUUCCUAAAUUUUCUAUUAUGCCUCAAUUUACAGAACGUUAUAAACCAGGUCAUGUGUAUAUCAGAAAACACAGACAACAUGCUCCCACACCCCUUCCCGACGCUGAACCGCCACCUGAUCCUGUAGCAGUUGAACCACAUCGUUCUGGUCGAAUAUCUCGUGCACCAGAUAGAUAUUCACCAGACAUGUAUGAUUCCUUGCAUACUUCUCUGACUGCCACACUCUCUAGCGUAUCUAUUCCUACUUGUUACUCACAGGUUGUUAAAGAUGUAUGAUGGAUAAAAGCAUUGAAUGAAGAACUCCAAGCUCUUCAAGAGAAUUUUACAUGGGAUAUUGUCUCUUGUCCUCCUGAUGUCAAACCUAUAGGUUGCAAAUGGGUAUAUUAUGUGAAAUUGAAUUCUGAUGGAUCCCUCAACUGUUACAAUGCUCGUUUGGUUGCUUUAGGAAACAAGCAAGAACAUGGAAUUGAUUAUGAUGAGACAUUUGCACCGGUUUCCAAAAUGACAACUGUCUACGCAAUCAUCUCUAUAGUUGCUUCUAGUGGGUGGUAUCUUCAUCAAAUGGAUGUGAAAAAUGUUUUUCUUCAUGGUGACCUGACAAAAGAUGUAUAUGACUCCACCUCAGGGCUUAUUCUCUUCAUCUAAAGGCGUGUGCAUGCUCAAACGCUCCUUAUAUGGUUUGAAACAGGCACCUAGAGCAUGGUACUAGAAAUUCCGCCUCACUCUACUUGGAUUCUCAGUUACUCAGAGUCAGUAUGUUUCCUCUUUAUUUAUUCAUAGCACAUCUGCAACUAUUGUUCUGCUUCUUUUGUAUGUUGAUGAUAUGGUUAUUACUGGUUCUGAUCAUGCUUCCAUUCAGCGGCUUAAGCAACGAUUACAUGCCUCAUUUCACAUGAAAGAUCUGGGUAAUCUACAUUAUUUUCUUGGUCUUGAGGUUCAUUCUACAUCCAAGGGCAUCUUUCUCCAUCAACACAAGUAUGCUACAUAUUUGAUUUCUAUGGUCGAUCUCGAAUCGGCUAAUCCGAUAGAUACUCCUCUUUAGGUUAAUGUUAAAUAUCAUCGUGAUGAUGGUGAUCUUUUGCCUGAUCCCUUAUUGUAUAGACAACUUGUGGGUAGCCUUAACUACUUGACUAUCACUCGUCCUGACAUAUCUUUUGUUGUUCAACAAAUAAGUCAAUUCAUGCAUUGUCCUCGCCAUAUUCACUUGGUCGCGGUUCGUCGUAUAAUUCGCUACUUAAAGGGAACCUCUCACCACAGAUUAUUCAUUUCCGUUGGAAUUUCUCUUAAGUUGAGUGCUUAUAGUGAUGUUGAGUGGGCAGGAUGUCCUGAUACUCGUCGAUCUAUUACUGAUUGGUGCAUGUUUUUUGGUUCUUCAUUGAUCUCUUGGAAAAGUAAGAAGCAAUCAAGAGUUUCCAAAUCUUCUACUGAAUCAGGGUAUCAUGCCAUGUCUGUUACUUGUUCAGAAAUGCUUUGUCUUCGUGGUCUUUUGGUUGAACUUGGAUUUCCCCAAAAAUAGCCAACUUCACUUUAUACUGACAAUACAAGUGACAUUCAAAUUGUUGUGAAUCCUGUUUUUCAUGAACACGCCAAACAUAUAGAAGUUGAUUCUCAUAGAAUAGGAAAUUAGUCAUUACGAGUUGUAAUUAGUCAUUAUGAGUUGUAAUUAGUCAUUAUGAAUUGUAAUUACUGACAUAUUAUAUAUAGCAUCAAAUGCAAUAAAAAAGGCAUCAAGCCAAUUUUCCUGACACAUAAAUAGUAUAAACAUGUAUAUAUUUUCAACCAACCCCAAUAUUUUAUAGUCUAAAACACAAAAUGGUAUCUUCAUAAUAGAUGUUCAAAACACAUAAUUGAAGACUAGAUGUAAGCGUCACGAUUUUUUAUUGAACCCAAAUAAAUAUGAUGUGUUCCUUUCUUAUCCCAUAUCUCUUUACUUUAUUAUAUUUAUUUAUCUGUAAUCUUUUUCUUCAUCUACUUUUUUUUUUUAAAUUAACUCGAAAUCCUCAAAAUUCGUGAAAGGGAUUCUAACCUCUCUCUCUCUCUCUCUCUCUCUCUCUCUCUCUCUCUCUCUCUCUCUCUCUCUCUCGCUCUCUCUCUCUCUCUCUCCUCUCUCUCUCUCUCUCUCUCUCUCUCUCUAUAUAUAUAUAUAUAUAUAUAUAUAUAUAUAUAUAUAUAUAUAUAUAUUAUAUAUAUUAUAAUAUAUAUAUAUAUAUAUAUAUAUAAUAUAUUAUAUAUAUAUAUAUAUAUAUAUAUAUAAUAUAUAUAUAUAUAAUAUAUAUAUAUAUAUAUUAUAUAUAAUAUUAAAAGCCUCAUUGGAAGAUCCUUGGGAUAAGUUUCAUCACAACUUGCUCCUCGUCCUUAAUAAGCUCUAUAAUAAAGUCCUACUCCUUAUUCCAUCACAAAAUUAAACAAUGUGAGACUUCAAAGAACUUAUAUCUUACAUAUAGUUUAGACUCUAUCUUCAUUCAUAAAACUAAGCGAUGUGAGACUUCUCAACAUGUAUAUUUUCAACCAAUCCCAACAAUCUCCAUCUUGAUUGAAGAUAACACAUAACAUUUCAUACUCUUCACCGGAAAGAGUAUCAACAUAAAUAGUAUAAAUAUGUAUAUGUUUCAAUCAACCCCAACACUUUAUAGUCUCAAACACAAAAUAGUAUCUGCAUAGUAGAUGUUCAAAUCACAUAAUUGAUGAUUAGAUGUAAGCGUCACAAUUUUUUAUUGAACCCAGAUGUCAUACCCCAAAAUCGCCCGUUAAUUUUGCAAGACAUUUUUUAGGCACCCCAACUUAUUUUUCAAGGCAUUGACCUUAAAGGAACCAAACCCAGCUCGCAGAUGGCCAAAUCCAGAAAAUGGCCCAAACUGGCAUGCUCGCUAGGCGAGCAAAUCCUCCGCCUAGCGAACCCUUCGCUACAAUACUCGCCUAGCGAAGCUUGCGAAUACAGAAAAUUCUGGGCUUCAUUCUGAGCCAUUAGGUCACAAUAAACCAUUAUAAAUACCAACAUUUCAGUCAGAAAGGGGGAGGAGAAGGAGACGAACCGGAACCCUAGCAAUCAAACCUUGGAGGCUAACCAAGAGGAUUUAGAGCAACCCUGAAGGAAACCCUGAAGGCAACUCAUCUGCCCAAAGUACCUCCGCCCAACUCAAUCCGAUACAAAAGUGACCUGCCAAUUCAACGUUGCAAUUCGAUUCAAACAGGUUUGCGCAUCACUACUGUUUUAUGCUUCCAAUCUGUAAUCUCUGAAUACAUAAUGCAUCAUGAUUGAAUUUCUGGAUACGUAAUUAGAGUUUGCAUGUGAGUUUUAAAAUGUGCCUGAAUAUCCUGAAUGUUGACCAUGUUAUUUCUGUAAUUGAAUGCCAUAGGGCGUGCAACAUGCUGAGAUACGUACUGUUCUGGAAUUCAAAACCCGCAGCCCUCGCUAGCACAUCGCUAAGCGAGGCAUUUAGCGAGCAUUCGCUAAGCCUUCGCUAGGUGAAGGCAGAGGCGAACGUGACAGUCGCUAAUAUUUUGGCUGUUCUGUCUAUGCUUAUCUGAUCUGUUCUAUUUAUCAUGCGUUAUUUUGCCUGACAUUCCCUACUGCUGUGUUUCUUUUGCGGUGUAAUCCUCGAUUGCACCCCCAUUUGGUAUUCUGGCCUGUUUGCUGAAUAUUGUAAGGACUCACAUACUCCCGAAGAGGUAGCUUGCUAGGUAUCCCACUUUAUUUGUGGGAUACCCUUGUGGAGAUUCAUCCUAUUUACUUAAUUGAUUUUAAUGUAAGAGGUUCAUCCUAUUUAUUUAAUUGAUUUUAAUGUGGAGAUUCCUCCUAAUUACUUGAUUAAUAUGGACCUAAUUACCUAAUUGAUUACAACUACCUAAUCGAUCGUAAAACUAUUCCGUUGAAAUAUGUGAUCUUGGACCUCUCUUGUUGCCUUACAUAUUUACGGCAUUAUGGUCAUGUCCCGGAAUGUGGGAUACACUUAGCAAAGACCUUCGGUUAAAUCAUCAUGUCCUAUAAAAUUAUCAUAGUCCCUCGGAGUUGCCUGCGAAUAUACAAUUUUGCCCCUCGAUGACCCUUCGUUGUAGCCUACGGUUAAAUGAUGAUCGUCCCUUCGAAUUGAAGGGAUCCUUACAAAUGUUGCCUUUAAUGACAACGAUGACCCUACGAUGACCCUUUUACAUCCAAAGGAAUAAACUACUUACUUCUUAAUAGUAAGGACAGUUUUACCCUUAAGGAUAGGAAAUGCCAUAAAGGCCUUGGGUAGUAUAAACCCUUAAUGUGCUGGCUCACCACCUAAAAUAUUUUUCACACCCACACCUUUCAAACAUCUUGAGAAAUCACCACUUGGUAUACAUUCAUACUAGAACUCAUUACCGAGUUAAUAUUUUUCUAAGUAACUUCAAACUAAACGAGACUAACCCACUUUUGUAUACAUUCAUACAAGAAUCAAUUACAAAGUUUAAAUUCUCUUGUUCAAAACAUAUUUUUUAAGCAAUUCACAAACACUUUUUCAGACAAACAUAAUGAUCCAGCAAAUAAGAGCCCAUGAUAACCAUGGAUCCAAAGGGUGCUAACACCUUCCCGUUUGAUAAUUACCUUCCCGACCCAAAAUCUAAUUAAGUCUUUCCUGUUCUUUCCACCUUUCCUUAUGGAUAAAGAAAAGUCAGGUGGCGACUCUUGCUAUCCGCACAUUGUGCUUUCCAAAGCAAAAACACACCAAAGUCAGUUCACGUAUCUGACAGAACUGGCGACUCUGCUGGGGACUUUAAAAAGAGAAGGUUACCUAAAAAUAAGAUCACUUAUUAAAAAUUGUCUGAUUUACUUUUAAGGGUUUGCUUGGGUAUUUUAUGCUUGAGUGAAAGAUCCUACACCUGGAUUAGUGUACUUUAGGUAAGUAGCAAUAGAUCAUCGCGACUAGUCCGCGGUAUACUGAAUGGUCAAAAUGAUGGUUACGGCUUAAUGUGGCACUUUGAGUUCCUGAUGUUCCUCAUGUUUACUUGAGGAAAAAUUGGCUUCCGCGUGUGUCAUCAAAGCAUUAACCAGACCUUUAGAAACCCUAAUUGACUCACUCCUAGCCAUUAGAAAAUAGUUGAGAUAACUGGCUUCGGUUCUGACUGGGUUGGUUGAGACCUCGAUACUACACUCUUGAGAUUGGACUUUAGGGAAGCUUCGGUCAACCACUUGUGUUGCACUGAGGGUGGACUUAAGGAAGGUCAAUGAUUGGAGAUCCUUCUAGAACCGGUUACUAUAUCUAGGACAGGUUGAAACCAACCAACUUCAGUAGGGAGGUAUUACCUAUAUGAGCUCAUGCAAGCCUUAAAACCUAAGGAUGAUUGUUUGUCGUGACUUGUUUUUGCUUGUUAUCAUACAUUCAAUAACAUCAUAACAUCAUAACAUCAUAACAUUGUACUAACCAUUUAAGGACUUAGGGAUUUAGCUCUUGCGCUGUUUAAACAGAUUAUGGCUUCCAGGAAGACCAUCCGGAUCAAUCUGUAGCCGAUUCUCCUCAACUCAAGGACUUUAGUGUCAGAACUUCCUGAUCAGGACUCAGUUCGUCAAGAAACAUGGUUCUCUCCUCAGUUUGGUUACCAUGGUUUCAAAGGAAAGAUACUGAUGAGGGUUCUAUUCCAGUUCUUCAUCCUAAACAUCAUUGCUUCACAAUUGCAUCUCUCUCCUUUUUUGNNNNNNNNNNNNNNNUAUAUAUAUAUAUAUAUAUAUAUAUAUAUAUAAAGCCUCAUUGGAAGAUCCUUGGGAUAAGUUUCAUCACAACUUGCUCCUCGUCCUUAAUAGGCUCUAUAAUAAAGUCCUACUCCUUAUUCCAUCACAAAAUUAAACAAUGUGAGACUUCAAAGAACUUAUAUCUUACAUAUAGUUUUAGACUCUAUCUUCAUUCAUAAAACUAAGCGAUGUGAGACUUCUUCAACAU